This 69149-nucleotide long non-coding RNA is filed under the name Gossypium raimondii (Peruvian cotton). RNAcentral describes it as "long non-coding RNA (GRAI_LNC001788)". The stretch from base 25728 to 25810 matches the Rfam family "MIR8703 microRNA precursor family". The record is from RNAcentral. Lineage: Eukaryota; Viridiplantae; Streptophyta; Magnoliopsida; Malvales; Malvaceae.
AUUACUUCAAACACUAAUUUUGAAUUUCUAACAUUCACUCAUUUCCUUGUUUUCAUCAACCCGUAAAAUGAAGCAGCAAGUAGUUUUUGUCUUAGGCCUGCAAACUCUGAAUUGGAUAAUACAAUAAUAAUAAUAAAAUACAAGUUUUAAAAUUAAAUAUUUGCACACACGAUCACAAUUUAUUUCCCUUCAUAACCCCAAUUUUUGCAUGGCCCUCUUAUAGCAUAUACAUAUAGCUAUUAUGGUACAAAGGGGGGCAUAUACAUCAAAGUAUAUAUGACAUGAAACAUAUUGGUAUAUCAAAUAUUCUGGACAGUUCUGUUGGAUAUGGAAUAAUGGGAACUCUUGAUAGUACUUCAUAUACCUGCCAUGCAUUCCGGUGGGGUGACCGGGUACCGAGACUUGUCGGUGCAGUAAUCGUAGAUCAUGUGGUUCAUCCGAACCCAUCUGUAUCUCCUAGCUUCCAUGGCAUUAAGAGCUUGAUAAGCAGUACCUUCCCACCAGUUCCUAGGGUUACUAGCACAAUUUGCUGGCCCUGGAACUGGACACCCUUCAAUGUCAAAAUCCUUGUAAUAAGCCAAAAAUGGUGCUUUGCUCCAAUCAAUUUUCUCAAGUCCUCCCCUUGUUGCCCAAUCAUCAGCUUCCCAUAGUGUUGAAUAUACCCCCAUAGGUUGAAAUUUUGGGUAUGGGAUGUUUUUUGCUUCAUUGUUCUUGUAUACUCUUAUUGGCACUUCAUCUACAUAAAACCUGUUAAGAAAAAGCACCCAAAUGGUCAAAUUUUAAUGUCAUAUAUGCUUAUUAAUGUCACAUUUAUAGUUAGAUACUGGACUUACACAAUAUGAUGAUGGUUCCACAUAAUUGCGUAUGUAUGGAAAUCAGCAGCUGGAUCAAACCAGAGGUUAACCCUUUGUUCUCUAUCACCUUUACCAUGAGCAUAUAUGUUGGUUUGGACCGUGUAUGGUUGCCCGGUUCGGUUUCCCAAGAACUCGAAAUCUAGCUCGUCUCUUACGGUGUCCGUAUCAGAAUUCAUCUGCAAUACCAGAUUACAAUGAAAAACAGAUUAAAGGUUAAAGGUUAUGUCGGUAGGUAGCUUUACGUACGUAAAAGGCGGUGACGGUUCCGGCCGAGUCACCGGGGAUAAGCUUGAUCUUCAUGCUGACACGUCCAAACAAAUACCGUCUUUUGGAAGCAAAUCCACAGCCUAUAAAACAAAAUGAAUUAACAACACAUUAUCGAAGGGUUAACACAUUUAAUCAUUGAUUAUUAUUUUUAAAAAGUUAAACCUGAAUUUUGGUCUAGAAUAAGUUGAAUGGCCCUCCCCCCAUCGAUUUGCUUGAUAUGGGAAUCGGACCAAGUGAUUCUAAAAUCUUCGAGGAAAGUGGCGGGUCGUCCCGAAACCGAGAUCGAACAUGCAAGGAAACAAGAGAAGAUGAAAAGAAAAGCACUGCUUAGAGUUGCCAUUGUCAUCAAUGUUUUGAACUUAGAAGAUUAAAUUGUGGUGAAUAUGUGUAUAUGUGUAUGUAUAUAUAUAUAUAUAGGUGGGAGAGAUUAAGGUUGAUGUAGACCGCUGCAUUGAAAUAGAAAGUGCCAUUCUUAAGUUUAGCUUUCGAUACAGCUAAUGGCAAGCCGUCUUUAGGCCCUACAUACCCCCCAACUGUGCUCUAAUUUUGCCCUUUGGGAACCUAAUCUUAAUGCUUCCACUUCAUAACUUUCUCUUUGUUUUUGUUUUCAUUCUCCAACCUAACAAGAAAAAGGGAUCACAGAUAUUGAAAUUUUACAAUUGAAUUGAUCGUAUAUACAUUGUUUGUCAUGUUCCGUCAUCACAUGAAAAUUUGAUUAAUUUUAUAUAUGGGUGGAUAAUUUUCUAUCUCAUGAAAUUGAUAUGGUAUGAAGGUGGUGUAGAAAAGGAUUGAAGACCAAUGAGGUGUGCCUAAAAAUUUGGGUCAAAUAGGGUUUGGACUUAAGUUCACAAAGGCAGUCUCAUUCAAUAUUGCUUAUCUAAUAUAUCUGUGAACAGCCUAGAUUGAUAUUGAACGGCCGGUUGGCCGGAUCCACCGAGUUACAUGCCCCACCAUUAAGUUUUUUGGGGUCUAAUUGGUCAAAUUCCAUAGGCCUGGAAACCAAUCAGUAUAUCAAUUUAGAUAAAAGGGUUAGAUCGAUUUUAGAGCGAAGCACUUAAAACUAAAUUUAAACCGUAAACCGGUUGAACUGUUUUUUAAUGUUUUUAGUCCAAAUUAAUGGUCCAAAUCGAAAAAAAAAUCUCAACUGGCAAAAUCCAAAUACGUAAAUAUAUCAACCCAACCCACCCGAAUACUUAAAAAAAUUAUUAUUAUUAAGAAAAAAAAAGAGAGGAGAAAAACCAAUAUAAAUCGAAGUGUCAUUAUUGUUAUUUAUUUGUGUUUAUACAAUUUUGUUUUUAAUUUUGUCAAAUUUUUACUUAUUUUCCAAAUUUUCUUUAAUUUUGGACCAAUCGAACUAAAAUUUGGUGAUCUGAUUAGUUCGAUCACCAAUCCAAUUCCGAAAACAUUGGGGGUAGGGGUUGCCUUAUUUUCAUAUUGAUAUAGUAGACAUCGAUAAAAAUAAGAAAAAUAAGAACACAUGAAUUUCUUCAAUAAGUGACGGGAUUCGGGUCACACAAUCUCUAACACAUAUUAACAUGGCUAGCUCUCCUAGAAAAACUUUUAAAUGUUAAUCGAAAACUUUCCCAACUCGAAUAAAAAAAUCUUAAAUCCAAAAUGACUCAAAUCCUAAUUAUUACCUAAACUUAAUUCAAAAAUUCACUAACAAACCCGAAUAACUUCAUCUUACAAAUAAUCCAAACCCAAAUUAAUAUCAAACCUAAAACCACUCAAAAGUCAUGUUGAAAAUUGGAUCAAAUUCCAUUCCCAUCUUUUUCUACCACUUGACAAUUGUUGUGACAAGGAAUAAUUUCAAACAAAAGUAUUAUCCUAUUUUACAUCAAUUGAAGUUAAAACACAGAUAGUGAAAGACUGAGAUAUCUGAAAAUUAUACGACAGAAAGGGAUCAUUUCUUUCACCAGUUGCAUAACUGACGUACAAAGAUCCUCGGGAUUAAAGUUCAACCAAUGUUGGCUGCCAAACCUCAAUUAUUUUAAAACUUUGACCUCAAAGUCAAUAUAAAAAAAUAAUUCUAAAAAUAUGUAGUCCUUAAAUGAUUAAAUAUGCAAAUUUCCUUGUCCAAAUAAAAUUUUUAAUUUCUCCUCACAAAUUAUGAUUAAUUUAUAAUAAAAAAUAAAAAUUGUGGAUCAUGAUUUCCUCUCUCAACUAUAUAUCUCCAGGAUCCAAAUUUGAGUUCUUUUCAUAAGAGCGAAUACGGUUUACCACUGCACUCAACAUUUUUAAAAAAGAAUUAUGUAUAGGAGGAGGCAAAUUCUCUUAUAUCCUGUAUGUUAGUAUUGAGUUGCGGAUUUGCUGUGUUUCGAGUUGCAACUAAUGAUAUAAUUGAAAUUGAAAAAGAAAAGGGUUAAAAUAUGUCAUAGGUUCCUGUGCUUUUUAAUUUUAGGAAUUUAGUUUCUCUGCUUUCUAGAUUUCAAAAUUCAAGUCAAAUUAUUAAUUAUGUUAAUUUUUUGGGGUUGAAUUUGUUGGUGUGACAUUUUGAAAUUAGAAAAAAAAACCUUACUUGGUAGUAAUGUAACUAAAAUAAUGACGUUGUAAUGAACCUGAAUUUAACAAAAUAAUCUUAAUAGUGCUAACAAUUGGACCUAAUUUUUUACAUCUAAAAAGUAGGGGGAUUAAAUUCCAAAUUUCUGAAGAGUUUAGAGACUUAUAAUAUAUUUUAUCCAAAAAUUAGUUGUAGAGUUCAAAACCCCUUCCUACAUCUAUAUGGUCUUACUCGAAGAGUGAUUCAAAAUAAUUCAACAAUACAAGAGAUGAUUUAAGCUCAACUUACUCAACUUGUUGUUGCCUACAUGCAUAUAUAUAUAUAUAUAUAUAUAUAUAUAUAUAUUUGGGGUUAAAUCACUUUUUAGGAUCAAAACAUGGUAACAUUUUUUAUAUUGGGGUUUGAAUUUUUUUUCAAGUUAGGUCAUGAACUUAGCAAUUAUUCUUCCAUUGGGAACUAAACUUUUUUUUAUUCAAGAUAGAUCCUGAAUUAACAAUUUUUCCAAUAUUAGGGUUGAAUUUUUUUUUCCAAAUUAGUCUUUAAAAACCCUAAAAGUUCAGGUCAAGCCUCGAUGUGAGAAUAAUUGUCAAGUUCUUGGACUAACUUGAAAAAAAAUUCAAGCCCCAAUUUGAGAACAAUUGCCUAGUCUAGACCCCAAUGUGAGAACAGUUGUCAAGUUCAAAGUCUAACUUGAACCAAAAAAAAAAAUUUAUACUCCAGUGUAGAAAAAGUUACCAAGUUCAAAUCCCAAAUAAUAAUUUAACACUAUAUUUUAUAUUGAUAAAACAUAAAAAAAUAUCUUAAUUAAAUUAUAAAUAAAAUUAAUCAUAUAAUUAACUCUCAACAUUUAAUAUUAAGAUCCGUAAUUAAUUAUUUUUCCCUAAUGAUGAGAAACUAAUUUAACUUUUAUAUUUGAACUAAUAUACCGAUUAAUUUAACUUUCAUUCAAUUUAACCGAUCGAUCCAGUCCUAUUAAAUAACAUCGGUGAAAAUGAUGGCAAAUAUUUUAUGGGGAUUGGGACAUGUGGAUGCAUGCAUGGUAUGGCAUAUAAGUGAUUGCUGGGAUAAGCUAAUAAAUGGGGUUUUUUACUAAAUUAUUAUAAAAAAAUAAAAAAAUAAACAAAAUAUUAUAACUUUUUUUUUAUUUACCAAAAUAUUAUAAAUUUUUUUAAUUUACCAAAAUAUACCAAAAAAAAACUUGCAAAAAAAAACCUGUGGCGGCACCAAUGGUGCCAAAGCACUAAAAUGUAUUUGCAGUUUCAAGGACCUGACAUGCAAAUUUACCAUUUUAAAAUUUGAAAGUGAAUUGCCGCUGUGCGUGUGGGGCGCACUAAAAUUGAAAUGUGGCUAAUUGCCUUCUAAGCCCUCCUUAUUUUAAUUAAGUAAUAAACUUUAAUUAGUUAAGUGAUAAUUAAGAUACUUAGAAUUCUAAUUAAGUAAUAACUCUAUUUUAAUUUAAUAAACUAUUCUCAUUUAAUAAACUCUAAUUUAAUAAACUCUAUUUUGGUAGUUUGAUGAGAAUAGUUUAUUAAAUUAAAAUAGAGUUAUUAAGUAAUUUGAUGAGAAUAAUUUAUUAAAUUAAAAUAGAGUUAUUUCUUAAUUAGAAUUCUAAGUAUCUUAAUUAUCACUUAACUAAUAUUAGAUUUAAUUAAAAAAUUAACAGAAAUACCAGGCAUGCCUUAUUGAAAAACCAGAAGUAAUAAUAAAACUGAUCACCCAUAAAUGUAACCCAAAUAGAAAAAAUAAAUUAUAAUUAUAAACUAUUCUCAUCAAAUUUAGUAAAUUUUUUAAAUAAACUAUUCUCAUCAAAUUACCAAAAUAAUACAUAAAAUGCGAAUUAGUUUAUACUUUUUUAAAUAGCUUUACUUUAGGUAAAAUAUAUUUACUUUAAUAAUAAAAUAAAGGGAUUUUAUGAGUAAAAGUCAUAGAUUAAGAGCUUAUUUAACUACAAAAAUAGGUUGAGGGCUUGUUUAUUAAAUAAAAAAGUGAGUUAAAGGGGAAUAAAAAGAAAAUAAUAAAUAAGGAGGACUUAGAAGGCAAUUAGCCACAUUUCAAUUUUAGUGCACCCCACACGCACAGUGCAGCAAUUCACUUUCAAAAUUGAAAAUGGUAAAUUUGCAUGUCAGGUCUUUAAAACUGCAAAUAGUUGCAUUUUAGUCCUUUAGCACCAUUGGUGCCACCAAUCUCUUUGGCACCUUUGGUGCCGCCACAGGUUUUCUUUUUGCAAGUUUUUUUUGGUAUAUUUUGGUUAAUAAAAAAAUUUAUAAUAUUUUGAUAAAUAAAAAAAAGUUAUAAUAUUUUGGUUAUUUUUUAUUUUUUUAUAAUAAUUUAGUAAAAAACCCUAAUAAAUGCGUUCUCCAUUGGCAUUGAAUUUUGCCACCAUAACAAUAUUUGAGGUAAAUUUCAAAAAUAGUUCCAUAUCUUUGUUUAAGUUUAAUUUUGGUCACCGAUGUUUCAAUUGUUACGUUUUGUAGUUCACUUUUAUAUUCGGACCAAUAUACUCUUUCCCGUCUUCCUUUUCUUUUCUUCUAACCAAACCCUAGUCGCUGCUCACCGCCAUCGAUGGUCCUCCGGCCGAUAGUGCCACCAUUACUCCUCUCCUCUCCGUUCACUGAUUCAGAUUUCUUCUAGAGCAAACAAAAGGACAAAAGCCCAAGUUGAAGCUUAAACCUUUUCCAACCGUCAGAUCGGCCUAAUCCCAGGAUAUGUGCCUCUCCUCCGUCCAAUGAGGCUUUUCACCAUUGGAUUUGCGAGCAAAUAACUAGAGCCCCGAGAAUUCAACAACCCGAAAUGGGUUUUCUCUUCCCCUUUUGAUUUCCAUUUGCUCUCUUUUUCUUGAUUUUUUAUUCUCUUUUUUUCAUUUCUAUGCCUUCUUCUUUUCCGUGACAUGGAAGCCAUGUUAGCAUUUAGUGGUACAAUUUGUGCAAUGUCAGAUUUUUAUUAACACUAUUAACGGCCAUUAACCGACCAGUAAUCAAAUUGUUAAUAAUUGAUAAAAUUUAUGAUCAAAUCAUAACAAUUGAAACAUCAAUGACCCAAAUGUAAACUUAAACAAAGAUAUGGGAUUAUUUUUGAAAUUUCUAUAACACUAUUAAUGCCCAUGGUGGUAAAGGGCAUAAUUUAUUAUUAUAUUAAUCAAAAUUAUGUAUAAUUAGCAGAAAACAUUAAUUUUUGUAAUUAAUUGUCUUUAAUUACUCAUUUUCAAAAUUGACGAAAUUUAAAUUAUUCUAUCUUUUUAAGAGAUUAAUCUGCUCGAUAUUAAAAUUGAAGGAGACUGAAGAAAUAUUUUUACCUAAAAUUUUUUAGUAUAAGCCUAGCACUUUCCUAGCCAAUCAAGUCCUUAUCAUAUGGUUUGAUUGUCAAACUCAAAAUUAAAGUCAGUCUUUAUUAAAUCAAAUAAUUGCAAAGUGUAUAGCUUUUGCCGGUUCUAUCUUAAUAAUGUAAUCCAUCUAAUAAUAUAUAUUUGUUAAUGGGUCGGGUCGGAUCAAGUUCGAGUUAGGUUUAAGUAUAAUGUCAACACAUUGUAUGUUUAUCCAAGUUCGUUUAGUCUGAAAUAUAAAUUUAAAAUUUUAUCUAAAUCUACCCAUAUUUAUAAAUAUCUGGUCUAAAUUCAUUUUAAACCCGCUCAUAUUAUCUUUAAUUUAUUAUUUAAUAAUUUAAUUUUUUAUUUAUAAAAAAAUUUAUAUAUAGACAUCUAAUAUUUUUAAUGUUUAUAUAAUAUAUAUUAAAAAUUAAAAAGGGUCUAGGCUAAGUCGGACUUCAAAUGUUCAAACUCAAAUUCGACUCAUAUUUUAAACGAGCCUAAUUUUUGUUUAGGCUCAAUUUUACGAGAGUUUAACCUUUUUAAAAAUCAGACAACAUUGGAGUUAAACGAAUAACCCGAUCUAUGAAUAGCUCUAGAUUAACCCAAGACUCAAUUAUUUGAAAAACAUAAAAAGGGCCUAGGUAGACAAAAAGGUUUAAUGUAUUUUGUUUUUUGCCGGUAAAUUGAGAAUGCUGGAAUUGACAAAGCAACAAUAAAUAAGAAGCAUCUUUAAUUAGAGGCUGGCAAGCCAAUGGCUCUUCAAUUCCUAUUUUUUCAUUAUCUUAUAUUAAUAAUUAAUUUGGAUUAUUUAUUUUAUUUUUCUUGAUAAUGAUUAAACAUAAAAGUUUUAGUGUCAUAAAUAGAAAUUGGAGUAAAUAUAGAGUUGUUCAUAAGACAGGUGGCCCAUUUAGCUCGCGUAGUAUGAUCCGAUUUGAAUUUAAAUUAAAUUCUUUUUAAAUUUUAUAUAAAUAUAAAUAUCAAAUAAUAUAUUUUAAUAUUUUACUAAUUUUUUAAAUGGUGAUAUGGAAAAUUUUUUAAAAAUUUGAUAAUUAUAUAUUUCUUUCACUACUAUUAUAUAUAUUUUUAUUAAAUUUUCAAAUAUAAAUAACUUACCUUUUUUAAAAUAUAUACAUUAUGAUAUAACAUAUUUAAUUUUCAUAUGAUAUAAGUACAUAAUGCAUAAAUAAAAGGAAAAGUUACAUAUCAUAAGCUUGAAAACAUACUAGAGUUGAUAUUUGAAUACUGGAGUUCGAAUUAGACUUAUAUUUUAAAUGAACUUAAUUUUUUUACAUAAACUCACUCCUAGCAUGACGAUUGUUUUUUUUUUUUUUUCCGAAUCCUCCCAAUUAUUGAGAAGGAAUUUGAGUUAGGGUAGGUAUAUUGACCAUUGAACAAGUCCAAUCAUAGUUAAUAUUUUGAAAUUAUGAUUUAGAUUUUUAAUUGGUCGCUAAAUUUUAAAACUUUCUAACUGAACUAGCAUAAGUAUCGUAUCAAUCAAGUCUUUUCGAAAGUUUAGUCAUUAGCUUGAGGAUAAACGUUGGCUCAAACAUAACAUUGAGCCUAUUUUAAACAUAUGGAUCAAAUUAUAAUAUGUGUAUCGAAUUUGACGUGUUAAGAAAUGAAUCUCUUAAAUUUAAUUGACGAUGUUACUUGGGAUAAACAACACUCAAGAUUAAUAAAUUGAUAAAUUAAUGUUUUAAUCAUUUAACUUUAAAAAAUUACUAAAUAAUUACUGAACGGGCAAAAUACUAAAAAAAGUCCUAUUUUUUUAAAAUUUAUCGAAAUGGGCUCGGUAUUUUAUUAUUUACUGGAAUGGGCCAUUUUCCCCGAAAUCGCGUCCACGUCAGCGCGAUGUCAGGGGACGUGUCAGAACAUCGCGUCCACGUCAGCUCGCUUAGCUUAUGUGGACAGAAAUCGCGCCUACGAGGACGCGAUUUGCUGACGUGGAUGAACAGUUUAUGUUUUUUAGCUUGGAAAACUUUGAAAGGCCAUAACUUUUGGCUCGGUUGUCCGAUUGAGACGAUUUUUUUAUUUCGAAUAACUUUUCGAGAUCUACGCGCUGAAUUUCGAUUUGCCGCAGUUUUCGUCAAAAAAGAUCCUUUUUUGCCCCUGAAUUUCGAUUUUUUCAGUUUAAAAUUGAAUUUUGAAACAUUCAAAUCAUUAUUUUCCUUAUUUAUUUGAAGUAAACACCGGAUUUUUUUUACAGAAUUGUUGUAUUAUUUUUUCUGAUUUGACACGUGUAUGGAAUAGGUCCGAUAAAUCGUUAGAACGUAAGUAAUAUAAUUAAGAUUAUAACAGUAUUUCUAUAAUAUGUUAAUUAAUUAGUUUGGCUUAGUUGGUUAAGAUGCUUGCUCUUUUCCCUUAGUACCUUGGUUCAAAUCUUGUUGGUAACAAUUUUGAAUCUUUUUUGUACUUGUUGCUAUUGAUGUAAUAUUGAAGAGUUAAUUGAUUAAAAAAAUAAAUACAAGUACAAAAAGAUUCAAAAUUUAUUUUUUCAAAAUACCAAAAAAGCCCUAUAUUUUUAAAAUUUAUCAAAAUGGGCCCGGUAUUUUAUUUUUUUGACCGUUGGGUACUGUUCACGCGCGGGCCGAAAUCGCAUCCACGUCAGCAUCUCGCGCUGACGUGGACGCGAUUUCCUGACGCGUACCCUGACAUCGCGCUGACGUGGACGUGAUUUUCCGAAAAAAGAACCAUUCCGAUAAAUAAUUAAAAAAUAGGCCCAUUGCGGUAAUUUAAAAAAAAAAGCUUUUAUUAGUAAAUUGCCCAUUACUGAACUGCUUAAAAAUUUUCAUUUAAAUUACUGGAAAGGUUUUAAAUAUAUAAUUUUACAAUUUUUUUUUGUUUUAUUAAAUAAAUGACCGACAAUACUAUAAACCUUUUAGUUUCCACUUUCUAUCUUGUCUAUCAAUUCAUGGCAAUGUUAAUCAAUUAUGGUUAGUUAUGAAUUAUAAUAAGAAAUUAAUGAUAUUUAUUGAGACUAGUUCUAUGCACAUCCCCCGAGGGGGGCAAUAAAACAAUAAAGAAAAUUUUGGGUGAAAAUUCAAAAUAAUGAAAAAUUAAAAUUACUUAACUAAUAAUUUUUACUAUUUACCCUUAUCGAUUUAUUUAUUGCCAUGUACUCUAAUUUAUAUGAUUUUUGGUUCUUGUCUUUUUUAUGUUUUGGAAUUUUAGUGAAUACUUAAAUUAAUUAAGUUAAAUUUGUUAUUUCUAAAAUUUUACAUGGCAAACAUGUUUUUUUCCACAUAAUCCUUGCAAAAAAAAAGUCAAUCACUUUAGUUAAUUGAUAAAAUAGUUACGGUUUGAAUCGUGACUAAAAUAUCAAAAUUUAAAAGUUAAGUAUUAAAAAUAAUGAAAUUGGAGAACAUGGUCUAAAUCCAUAAUUUAGGCAUAGUACAAGAUUAAUAGCAUAAUUUGAUUUAACAUAUUUAACUGUCGUUUGGGUUGAGAUUAAAAUUUCAAAAUUCAAAAAGUACAAAGAUUAAAAUUGACCAAAUUAGAGUAUAAGAACAAAAAUUAAUAAAUUAUACAUGAUAUAGGGAGUAGGGACCAAUAAUAAAAUUUGACCUUAUAAAUGAAUAAAAAGUGCUAAUGGUUUUAAAAACUUACUGUGAUAAAAAAAAUGCAUGAGAGAGAAGUUAAAAUUAGGAAAGUUUUCUAGUCUCAUCAUUAGCUAUUGCUAUGUGUUGGUUUUUUCUGUUGAGUUUAAGACUUAUGAAGAUAAAUAUUAAUUACAAAUAAGAUUCCGCUAAAAUAAUCUCAUAAAAAGACUUUACAAAUAUAAUCGUAAAGUUCAAAAUAAAACAAAAAUUUACAAGAUAUAUCUUCAAGUCAAUCUUCAUAAAUCAAGGGAUCCAAUUUAUUUGACCUAGAUCAGUCCAAACUUCAAGGAUUUGUAGCUUCACAAAAUAGAUCUUCAAAUAUGGGUCAACACAUGUUCAUAAUAUUCACUAAGUCAUGACCCAACUGUUUUGGUUUAAAGAUCCGUCGACAUUAAUAAGCCAAGUUAUGUAACUUGUGGGCACUACAUGAGACAUUGCUCACAUAUUGCCUCAACAAUCUCUUCCAACAAGAAUUCUAUAUUUAGAAUAUGAAUCCAUCUUUAUAAAGUACCAUUUAAUCCAUCUUAAUCUGUCUAAAUUUUAUCAAAUCAAUUACCCUUAAUAUAAGAUUACAAAUGAUUGUGGUAAAUCUUCAUAAAAUCAACUCGCGUCUUCUUGGAUUUACAUAUCCAAAUAUAUAAGAUAACUUAAUUUGGACACGAGCAAUAUUACUACUUUAAAAACUUACCUAGACCCAAACACUUGUAUAAACUUAUUUUGUAUGAGAAAUUAUAGAGAAGAUUAAUUAAAUUUUAAUCUAAUUGCUGCAAAAUUUUCAAUUAUUUCAAUGGGAUAAUGCUAAGAAUAUUAUAUGAGAUUUGAGACCCUACAUUAUUGUGAAAUAUCAAAUCAGACCUACAUGACAUUUUUUUUCUUCAUAUAAAUCAAAUUUAAUGUAUAGAAAGUUCUAUUUUGUAUAUUUUAGCUGGAUCACACAUAAAAAAGUACUUUUAAUUCAUUGAAUUUUUUGAAGGGAAAAUCAAAUCAGGUAUAAUUUAAUAUUUCAACAAGCACAAAUAAUUGAUCUUUUGUGUGGUUUUAGAUAAAAGAAAUAAAUUUUAAAUAAAUCGCUUAGAACCAAUUGAAUAGGAUAAAAAAAUUGAUUAAAUUAAUGAUUGAAUUGAAUUUAUACUUUUAUAAUUAUUUUUUAAAAUUUAAAAUUAUUAGUAAUUUAUUUAAUUAAAAUUGAAGUGGUAAUCAAUUUGAUCAAACCGAAAAUCGAUUAUCUGAUGAAUUUAAUCACCAAUCCAAUUCUUAAUGCAUGUUUUUGACUUGGACAGGAAUUUUUCUUUUUAAAUUUAAUAUUGGAAAAUGAUUUUUCUAUGUAUAAUGUUUUUGGCUUAAAUACUCAUUUAGCUUUGGAAUUUAUCAUUUUCUCCCAAUUUGGUAUUUAUGGUAUUUUUGUUCCAAUAUUAAAUAUCAAAACCUUUGAUGGAAUGAAAAUCGAGAUACCAACUUGAAACAGAAAACCAUAAAUACCAACUUAAGAGAAUAUGAUAAAUUCGAGGGUUAAAUGAAUAUUUAAACCAACAUUCACUGAUUCAAGUAUAAACAACUACCCUAUCACAAAUUCAUAGAUUUCAUCCUUCGUUAUAAAACAAAGUUGCUGUGAUAAUUUUAUUUUCAAAAUGAAAUAUAAAAUAAUUAUUAAAUAAACUAAUUAAAAAUAUCAGAAAAUAACAAUUUCCUUUCGGUACUUUCACAGUAUCACUAUAAAUAUACUCGUAUAUAUAUAAAAAAAACUAAUAAUUUUCUUUUAAUUAACCAUAUGAAAUCAAUAAUUAAUUAUUACAUUUUUAGAAAUAAUAAUUUAAUUAAAAUUGACACAUAUAUAUAUAUAUUUAAAACUCAUAUCAAUAAAUUAAAGCUUCUAAGAAAAAAAAAUGAAUGUUAUUAAAAUAAUUAUGAAAAUCUAAUUAAAAAGCUAGCUGCCUCAAAGCUCAUUAAAUGCAUGCAAGGCAAUUGCAGGGUCAGGUAUGCACACGCCCUGAAAAAGAUUGCUCAAACAGUUUCUUACAUGCAGAGACUUUUUUGCCUAAAAUUAUACCCUCAAUCAUUUAACAUCACAGAGACUUUUUUGGCUAAAUUUAUACCCUCAAUCAUUUAACAUCUCCUUUUCUUAUCUGCUAAAUUCGAUUUAGUAAAAAUAAUUAAAAAAUUUGAAUGACAAAAAUAUGAACUUUUAAAACCUAAAUGAUUAUUGGGAAAAAAAUAAUUAACAGAGAAAUUUAUAUUUUAAUAUAAUGAUAAAAUUGUACUUUAAUUCCUCUAGUAAUUCAUAAUUCAUAUCUAACUUUCUUUAAAAUAAUUUUCUAACUUCGUCCAUGCUUCAGCGUAUACAGGGGCAGAAUCACCUUUAAUCCUUUUAUAAUUUUAAAUAAUUUAAAUUAGCAUAUGUAAAAUUACACUUUGCCUCUCAAGAAUGAGAACAAAAUUAGUAUAUAAACUAUUAAGAUGAUGAAAUUUUACUUUUACUAUUAUAAAAAUAUACAAUUUUAUUCCGACCCCUCAAUUUCUCUGGAUUUUGAUUGAUUUCCACUAGUUGCCACUAAAUUGUACUAAUGUAGAGUUGAAUUUUAUUCCAAAAAAGCUACUAAUGGUAUCAAUUCAAUACAAUAUAUAUAUAUAUAUAUAUAUAUAUAUAUAUAUAUAUAUAUAUAAAGUUCAAUGAUUUCGAUAUACCGUUUGCACAAUCAACACGUUUGGUCUAAAUAAUUAUGAAAAACUUGUAAACUCAUCAUUGAAUACAAGUAUCAUUAACAUUAAAAUAUUUAUCUAUUUCUAUUAUUAAAAACUGACAUGAUUAAUAAUAAAAUAACAAAAUAGUUACAAGUGACACACCACGUGUACCUCACUCUAAUGUACAUUAACCAGUUUUUAACAAUAGAAAUGGAUACAAAUUUUAACCGAAGGACUAGUCUGCUGUUUGAUUUAAUGCAUAAAGACUAACUUACCCAAUUUUAAUAGAAGGGACAAAAUAAAAUUUGACUCUCAGUACAAACAAGACUCCUGUUACUUUUACCUAUUGAGAAACAAUGGAAUUGAAAAAGAAAGUUGGAAGUUCAAAUUCAAUGGGAUAGAAACCUUGAAAGGACAGUGGAUAGUUCUCUUUGAUCUAUAUAACAAGUGAUAUAACAAAAACAGUAAUUUAAUUUGAUUAUUAUAAAACCCUGGAAAGAAUCUUACAGUACAAUAAAUAGUUGUUCAAGAAUAUCAACUUGCAAUUCUACUGAGUUGAGUAACUAGCUCCUUAUCUGUAGAGUUUUUCAAAUGUUCGACGAUUUCGUCGACAUACGGAGCUUCUAAGUGAAUCCUUCUUCUAAGCAUUAACCUAGCAAGCUUCACAGCUUCAACUGAAUGGCUUUGCCGACACAAGCCAACCAAAAGAAUAGAAUAGAUGUCAGUGUCGAUGGAUGAAAUGUAUUGAAUCCGCUCGAUUUCAUUGUAUAAGCAAAAACCAUCUAGCACUCGUCCCUCAUGACAGAUCUCCCUAAUCAUGGUACUACAAGCAAUGCCACUAGGUUUAGCCCCACUUACUAACAUUUUCCUAAAGAGCUUCUCUACCUCAUUGAGUCUAUUAAUCCUAAUCAAAGCCAAUACAAGAGAACUGUAGCAAUCACUAUUGGAAACACCACGUCCGGCAACUCUAUCGAUCAACUUAUAUGCUUCUUCGACAUGUCCCUCGGUGCAAAGACCCGUGAUCAAAGUAAUAACAGUUAUACGGUUAGGAACACACUGGCAAGCUUCCAUUCUAUCCAAAAUCCUCAAUGCCUCUAUUGUUUGACCCUUCUCACAAAAGCUUUUAAUCACAGAUGUAUAUGUGAUUACAUUUGGACUACAAUUCCCACCUGCUUUCUCCAUCUCCCCUAAUAAUUCCAAUGCCUUUUCCGUACUCCUGUACUUACAAAUACCCUCGAGAAGCACGGAAUAAGUCACAGCAUUUGGAGAAAACCCUUGCCCCUUCAUAGCCUGAAACAACUCACAAGCCUCCUCCAAUCUACCAGCAUUACAGAACCCCUUGAUCAUUGCAAAAUAAGUCAUCAUAUCGGGAUAAAGAUCAAUCAAGCCAAUCUCUUUCAUCAAUUUAUGAGCCAUAUCCAUAUCCCCUUUCUCACAAAGCAGCCUGAUAACCACAUUAUAAGCAGUAGUAUCCGGACGUAAAUUAAAUUCAGGCAUUUUCCUCAAUAGCAACAAAGCUUCAUCGGCAAUGUUAGCUUCUUUACACAAAUUCAAAACAACCUUAAACAUUUUAAGGUUAACUGAACACUUUUCCAUCCUGUAAGCUUUGAUAACAUCCAAAACAAGAAAUGGGUUUUGCUUAAUUUUCAAAAAUCCAGCAGCUUUGUUGUACAUAUAAGAACUAUACCUACAAUUUGAUUGAAGACCUGCCCAUAUGAAAAACCUUAAACCUAUUUGAGAUAGAGAUAUAUCAAAAGAACAUCUUUUUAACACCUCACAAACACAGUUUGGGUCCAAUUUGGCAUUGACUAAAGCUAAGGUUUUCUCUAUAUUGCUUUGGUUUUUCUCUAAAAGAGUGAAAAAUUUGUCGGCAGAGGAGACCGAUCUGAAUUGAAGAUUGAAAAUUUUGCUUUGUUUAGUGUGAAUUGAAAGUGAAAUCAAUCUAGAGAGAGAAGCAAUUGGCAUUGCUUUGUGGGGGAAUUUAGUGUCUUUGCAAGAGUUGAGGUUGAACAAAACAAUGAGGUAAAAUCUUACGAGAUUGUUUCCGAAUGAAGUUGGAUAAGUUUUGGCAAGAAUGAGGCCAGGUGUACCGAGUUGUUCGAAUGUGGCCCAGUACGGUGGCAUCAACUCAUAGCCAGGCAACCAUAACCUCAUAUAUGGCCCUGCAUUAUAACGAUAGAGCAUUAAGGUAACUCACAAUUAUGUAUGAUUUUCAUUUUAUUAAAAACAUAACAGUAUCAAGCAUAUAUCCGUGUUUGAUGUUCAAAUAUGAGUCCGGUGUGUAAAAGCGGAAACACGACAUUUCCUAAAAAUUAUUACCAUAUUAGCACAAGUCAGUGAUGGCUAAGCUUCUAUUACAUUGAAAGAUUGUUAAAUCGAAACCUGCAGUUUUAACACAUUAACUUCAUCAAAGUGGAAAAGCAAAACCGAAUUUUAUAAAAAUUAUAAUCGGAAACGAAAUUCACUUUGACGGAAACCGGAAUAACAACUGAGUUUAGUCGGUCGGUCCCGUCGGUUAAUCAUACCGAAAAAAUAUCAUGAAAAAAGCUGUUUUUUUUUUUAAUUUACACAAACCAUAAUGAAAGUAAAUUUGUAGUAAAUAAUUGAAUUUCCCAUAAUUGAUCGCAACAAAAAACUCAAUUUACAACCAUAAUUAAUUGGAAAGCUAAUCGAAAGUCAUAAGCUACCUGUUUCAUUUGGCUACUACUUCAAAUGACUACCAUAGAAUUUCGAAAUGGGCCAAAACUAAUUUUAGGGUAAAAGAAAAGUAGGCGAUGAGCAAGACGACAAAGUUGAACAUCAAUAGAUUAAAUAGUUUUAAAAGAAAGAUUGAACAGCUAUAUACAGUAGAUUAAAUGUGGCAAAAGCCAAAAAUAACUUACAGUGGCCGGUGACGAGGCGUUUUCCGAUGAGCAAGGCGGCAACCGAGGUCCGAGAAAGGUUGAAGGCGAUGAGCUGUUACCCACCGGCGUUGGGUUUGCUGGUUCAGUUCAAGGCUGUUCACCAUAGAUUUAGGCUUUUAUUUUUAAUUCGUUUAAAAUUUUUUCUUUUUUAAAUGAAUUAAAAUUUGUAUUUGGGUUUUUUAGUUUUUAGAAUUUGUAUUGGGCUUUAAUUUUUAUAGCUUGGAUCUUGUGUAUAAUGAAUUUAUUUGGGGAUUGGAAAAUGAGUAUGAUAUUUAUAUUUUAAAAAUAUAUAAAAUUAAUAAGUUAUAUUAAUUCGAAUUAGAUUUUAAAAUCGAUUGACUUAAAAUAAUUGAAUUAGUCUCUCAAAUCGAUUUGAAAUUAAAAUUGAUUUAAUUGAAUUAAGUGAAUCAAAUUUAAUCGAUUAAUUCGAUUUUAACCAAGUUUUCAUCAUCUUUAAAUUAAGUGAAAGUAUAUAUGUAAAAAUGUAUACUAUAUUUCAAACACAUAAAAGAGUUGGUAUCACGAGUCAACUGGACGCUAACUUAAGUGAAAAUACCCUUACUUUACAAAGUAAAUUGUAUUAUUUUAAGGAUGUUUUUGUCUUUCUACAUCUUUUAUAUAGAAAAAUGUUUACAUAUAAUAAGACUUUAACUUGUGUAUUUAUAGUUUCAACAUUUAUACUUUACAAUUCAACCAAAGUCUCAUUUACUAUAUUAAUUAAUUAUAAAUAUAUUUAUUAUAUAAUAUUAUGUUUUUCGUCUACGUGGUUGUGUCAUAAUCUAGUAAUAAUAGUAAAUAAAGUUUAUGCAAUUUAGGUUAAGUGAGUCACAGUACACCCAUCUCUUUACGCGCAUUUCGUUUUUAUCCCAAAGCUUUAAACUCACCACGCAGUCCUAGUCGUUCGCCGCAAUGCUUCGCUUUUCUUCAGUGGUUUCUGGCAUUGAUUUUGGUUUCAAUAUGUUCCCCUUAAUCUCCUGUCUACUAUUCUAGGAUUAUAUCCCAACAUCAUUGGUUUUCUCUAAUCUAAACUCAAAGUUUUGGUUGGCGUGCUUUCGGUCUCCCUCGCACACUGUUAACCACAACUCAAAUCUUAUAGUAGUCACUUUGAGCUUUCCAAAUCUAGUUUGACUAAAUUUGGGUCAAUGAAGCAUUUCACCAACGCCAUUCACUGCUCGAUCUUCUCAUGAAGCCAACGACUUGUUCCUUCUGUUCUCAUGAAUUGUAGGUUUUAUGUUUUCCCUAAUUUUUAUUCCUUGUUGGAUUGCAUUGUGUCACGGGUCAAGACUUUAGCUCCGAUCAUGUGUGACUUUAGAUUCGACUAAGUCAGCCUUUAGUCCUCGCUUGGGAGAGAUUUUAGCACACUUAGGGAACUUAGAUAGAACAAGAGAAUGUGGGAGAAUGUGGAAGCAUUCUUAUUAACUCUCAAAGUUAGCUUGUACAAAUGAGGGAUGAGAGCCUCUCCUUAUAUAAGUAAGCCCCAUUCAAUCCAACGGUUACAAUUGAUUACAAUAAAUGGUCAAUAUCACAUUCUAGAACUUUCCCACUUAACUCCAUUAAAUUCUAUACAUGAACGGAUAGUUCUAGAGCUUCCAAAAAUAUUCUACAUGGUUCUAAAGUCUUUCGGGGCACUUCGGGAAUCUUGUGGCUCAAUAGUCUCGUGUUUGCUCGAUUUCGGGCUUGAUAAGGCCUUGCUCACUCACGAAUCAUGACACUUGGAUUAGUUGCCUUGCUUUGUCUCUAUUUUUUUUUCAAUUGCAAAAUAGGAAAUCAAGAAAACUACUAGGUUUGUGCUAGGGAAUUUGCUUCAAGGGUAGGCAUUUCAACCCUUAAGGUUCUUUUGGAAGGGUAAGGAUGAAGGUAAAAGUGGGCUAGACUGUGUUAACCAAAGGUUUCAAAGAAUUUGACAUUCAAGAUUGUUAUAUUGCUACCUCGGCUUGGGCAUGUGGUAACAUGAGAAGCGAUUGAGGAAACACACAUGGAUGGCCUUCCACCUUAUAUCGUCCAUAUGAUUUCUCAAUGACCAAUCACCUGCAUGCUUCGUACUACCCAGGGGAAAGAUCAUCUAUCCUUAACCACUCGAUUGGACCCUUCGUUAGGCCACCCGCUAUUAGCUAGUGCACUCUCCUCAAGAGGAGACCUUCGAGUGGUGUAAUUGGACAGGAGACCUCCUACCUAUAAAUACCACAAGAUACAACAUAAAAGGGAUCUUCUUCUUCCUUCUCAUAAACCCUAAAUAACAUACUAAGCCCUUAGCCUCCUCUUAUUCCCUCACUUUUCCAACUCUUCACUUGUUUAGAUUAACCAACCUCCUUCGCUCCACCACCUUCUCCACCAUAUUUCCUCAUUUGUUGAUAUAUUGUAUCAACAAAUAUAUUUAAAAUAAAUAAAAUAUAUAAAUAUAUGAAGUUUGUUAAGUUGAUUGGUUCAAUUAUGAAUAUUAAUAACCUUAAACUGACUAACUUAAUCAAAAGCAUGUGCCAACUAAUUUAAUAAAAUACACAAACCCAAUAUUGGUUUAACCGAAUGAACCAAUUAAAUCAAUAAUAUUCGAUUUUUGCUUACCCUAUGCAUCCAAAGAGAAAAGAAAAUUGAUUUUCAUCCAAUUUUUUUAUUCGCUCUGCCUACCAUGCGGUGAAGGUUGAGCUAUAGAAAGAAAAAAAAAAACCCAUGCCCUUUCCAAUUUCAAAAUCGAAAUUUUUUCAAUCAAAGUAUCAUAAAAGCUCAUGUAGUAAAGUUAAAUUGUGUUUUGUCCAUUUUACUUAAAAAUUAAAAAAUUAGUCUCUAUAUAUUAGGGCAAGGAACAAAUUGGUCCUUUUAGCUAAAAAGUUCAUCAAUUUUUAACAAUAGAAAUGGAUAAAAUUUUUAACAGUGGAUAAAAUUUUUAACAGAGGACUAAUUGACUCUUUAAUCUAAUAUAGAUUAAUUUGGUUCUACUACAGGGUCAUCCACGAUACAUUUACCAAAAAUUUUCUCAUAUCACAUAAGUUUCUUUUUGGUUUAUAUCACAAGUGUCCUUAUUCGAUAUGAGAUUAGUUUCGCUCGGGUUAAGAAUGGAUUCGAGUAAAGCCCUCUCAAUAAUGAGAAUUCUAAAAAUCGAACUUAACCUAAAUUACCGACGGAAAAAUCCACUCUUUCCAAGCACUUGUUAAUACGGUUUAACAAUAUAUUUAGACAAAAAUAAUAAUAAUUGAAAUAAUCUACAUUCUUCUUAUGAUACAUCAGUGAUUUCAUAUCCGUUUUGUAAGAACCGGUUGGCGUUUAUGGUGUUUGGUUGCUGUUUUUUGUUCCAUAGUUGUCUUCUUUCUUUGUAUAUGUACUGAAUUACGGCUUUUUCCUCUUCUCAAAUGCUCCUUUCAAUACUGUCAUCCCACCCUAUCUUUCAAAUUCUAUUGCCUUUCUUUCUCUAUCUUCUAUUAUAUAUAGUAACUUGUCUCUGUUUCCCAAAUCUUUGUUGGCCAUUGUAGCUUAAACAAAAGCUCAACACCCGAGGUUUUAAGAAAAAAGGUUUGUUUUCCUUUUCUGCCUUCUCUUUUUUCCUUUUUGUCAUUCGCUUCUGCAUUAACUUACUUGUCCUUCGAUCGUUACAUCAUUUCAACAGACUGCGAUAUAUCGCCCGCCCUUAUAAUAUUAUUACCACUCUCCUCUUCCGUUAUAAAAAGUAUCCAAAUUUUGCCAUCGUUUUCUUCAUCAAAAUGAGCCAUAGUUUCAUAUUUUCCCUUCUUUUUCUCUUGAUUUUAAGCUCAACCCAACUGAGAUACAAAGCUGAAGGUAACUUUUAAUCAUCUUUUUCAUUAGGCAAUUUUUUCUUGCUUGCUUACUUUUGUUUCUGCAGGUAGAUCAAUACCAAAAUCCGAUGAAGAAAAGGCGAGGUUAAGAGCACAGAUAGGAUCAAGGCCACCAAGGUGUGAGAGAAGGUGCAAUUCAUGCGACCAUUGUGAAGCCAUUCAAGUGCCUACCAAUCCUCAAAUCUCCCAUGUUGCUUAUGCAAGAGGUGAUGGAAGCUCUAACUACAAACCCAUGAGUUGGAAAUGCAAAUGUGGCAACUUCAUCUUCAACCCUUAGCUCAUAAAUACAUAUAUAUUUUAGGUUCUUAAAUACCCAUUUUUGAACCAUGUAAGUAUUUUUUUUUUUUUUUUGCUUGUGAGAACAUAUUAGAAUUCCGUUGUGAAAUUUCUUGAUUAUCUGAAUCUUUAAAAAGAAAAUGAAUCUAUAGUACUUGCUGUUGCUGUGGGGCGUGUAUUUGUACUGGUAUNNNNNNNNNNNNNNNNNNNNNNNNNNNNNNNNNNNNNNNNNNNNNNNNNNNNNNNNNNNNNNNNNNNNNNNNNNNNNNNNNNNNNNNNNNNNNNNNNNNNACGUACUAAGAUACGAUUUCUUGGGCAAAUCGUUAUGACGUUGGGAGGAAGGGGGGUCUAGAAAUUAGUGUAAAGUAUUUACUUAAAAAGUAGACAAUGAUUUUUGAGUUGGUAUAGUUUCACCAUACACGCCAUCGUGUCUGGUUUUGGUGUCAACUAUUGUCGAAAAAUGCGAUAGGAAUUGAAGUGAUCAGAGAGGGUAAAGGAAAAAGCUUAAACUGUUCUUUUAAUGGCAGAUUCCAGUUGUGUUUUCUUCUUAUUGUCUCUCUUCGUUGCUUACUUGGCGUGUAAGGAAUUACAUAGUAACGAUUCCGUUUUCCUUGAAAACUUACUUGAACAGUCAGCUCGCCUGGUUUCAUUAACAUGACAAAACAUACAUGGGUCUAAAACCAAAACAACUUUUAGGAUUUAAUCUAAUUGUCUGAAUUGAUUAUCAAGAUUGCUCCGUUGGCUUAUUUCAUUGUUUCAUAAUGAUUAAUUCGAUUUUUUAAGUAUUUAAAUUAGAUUAAGUGCAAUUUUCAGUAAAAUAAACCAAUCCAUUUAAUCAACUUUUCUAUUUUUUAAAUAUGUUUAUAAUAUAUAAUUUUUUUGGGUAAAUAAAGGUAGUGGACACUAUUAUAAAUAACAAUCCCUCUAAAUCAUAUUACGCAUAUAGACUCUAGAAAUGAAAAUAACGUUUCAUCUCUGAGUAAGGGUAUUAAUAGUCUUGUUGAUAUAACUUCUUUUUAUUUUGGUAAAUUAUAUAGUAAAGUCAGUUCUGUAGAAGAAAAAGUAAAUAACUUAGGUAAUAUAAAAGAUUUAGACUUAAACCAUGAGUCUAAAGAAAUAUUAACUAAUGUUAAUAAUAAAUUAGAUCAAGUUUUUAAUAAUAAUAAUAUAGAGUCCGAUGUAAAUUUAGGUCCUUUAUAUUAUGGUAAUGGUCAAGAUCAUAUUUUUGUUUUAUCUGAUGAAGAAAACACUUCAUCUGAUGAGUCGUCAUCUAUGUUAAAAAAUUAUAAAAAACAUAAAAAACGUAAAAAAGUUGAUAAACAAAAAGAAUAUGAUUUCCAAUCCUAUAAAACACUUAUAGAACAUUGGAAAGAAAAAUUUGCUACUACUAAUGAUCAACUUGAAAGAGUUGAAUAUUUAAAACUAAUAGAAGAACUUUAUGAAAAACAUAAAGAUCUUUUUAGUAUGUUUAAUUAUCAUUAUAUGUUAAAAUAUGAUGAUACAAGUAGUGGUUCGAGUAAUUCUGAAAACACAUAAUUAUUCAAAAAUCAAUCUGGUGAAGAAAAAACUUCAACAGAUCAGGAAAUAAAAAAUAGAAACUUAUCUGAUGAAGAAAAAACUUCAACAGACCAGGAUGAAGACAUAAAAGUCUCAACCUAUACUUCUGAUGAAGAAACCACUUCAUCUGAAGAAGAAAAUAUAGACAUUCCUGAACCCAUGGAUACUGAACCACCAGAUCCUCGUGGAAAAAGGAAGUUAGAAUCUGAUGGUCUAACAGAUGACUAUCUUAGAUUUUCUAACAAAGAUUAUGAAUUAGAUAAUGGAAAAUUUAGAAUCUUUGGUAACAAAUCCGAAGAUAUAGCUACUAAUGAUGUUAAACCUGAACAUUUAGGAGAAACAUCUAGUCAACCUGUUCAACAAAGAAUAGAUGACUUAAAUAAAAGAAAUGUUGCUCAAGGAGGAAUAUAUUUAGAUUUGACUAAUAUUUCUAUUCCAGACUAUGAAAAAACCAUAGAAAAUUGGGCACAGUCAAUGACGAUUGUUGUAAACAACAACACAUNNNNNNNNNNNNNNNNNNNNNNNNNNNNNNNNNNNNNNNNNNNNNNNNNNNNNNNNNNNNNNNNNNNNNNNNNNNNNNNNNNNNNNNNNNNNNNNNNNNNNNNNNNNNNNNNNNNNNNNNNNNNNNNNNNNNNNNNNNNNNNNNNNNNNNNNNNNNNNNNNNNNNNNNNNNNNNNNNNNNNNNNNNNNNNNNNNNAAAAAGAUCAAGAUAGUGUUGCUAGCUAUACUCUUUCAAAAAUUAAAUUAUGUGAUAUUAGAUAUUUGGAUGAAUUUUCUAAAAAAUUUCUUCAUGAAUAUCAGAAAUUAAAAAAUGAAAAUAUAGAGUUUUGGAAAAACCAAUACUUUCAUAAAUUAACCCCACCUUGGGAUGAGAUAUGUAUAAACAAAUAUGUAUCUUAUUUAGAAAAGCAAAGUAAAACAUCUGGGCUUUCUUAUGAAAAUUUAGAUUCUAUAGGAAAUAGAAUUUAUUUUGCAAGAGAAAGAAUAACUUUGCACUGCUUGCAAACUAAAGCGGCUAAACAAGUCAAAAAUAAAUUAGGUUAUAAAUAUUGUUCUAAAAUAUUAGAAAAUGAAUGGGAAUUUGGGUGUAAACAAAUAUAUCCUAAAACCUAUAAAAAACGUAAAAAAAUAUAAAUUUAGAAAAUGGAAACCAGGUAAUAAAAAAAUUUCUGGUCAAAGUCAAAAAGUGGUAAGGAAAAAGAAUUCCAACCAAAAGAAACAAAUAUGUAAAUGUUUUAUUUGUGAUGAAGAAGGUCAUCUAGCUAACAAAUGUCCUAAUAAAGGGAAAAAUGCUAGGAAAAUGAUCAAAAAUCUUGAAGAACAAGAUUUAGAAAUAUGUUUCAUACAGGAAACAAAUCCUAAUGAAAUAUUAUAUGAAUUAAUAUCAGAAACAGAUUCUGAUGAAGAAUAUAUUUUUAUGUUUAAUAUAGGAAAUAAUUCUAAAAAUCAAUUAGAAGAAAUUCCUAAUUCUGAACAACAGAAUAUUAAAUUAGGAAGUCUAAUCGGAGAAGAAAAAGACUUUUCUGAUGAAAUGAUAGAGAAGAUUAACAAAAAUCAUAUCUCUAAAGAAGAAAUUUAUAAAAUCUCUAAGUUCAAAAUCUGGACACAGAGACACAUAGAAAAAAUUAGCGGUAAUACAGUCGCUAAAGAUACAAGAGGAGGAUUAACAGAAAUCCCACUCUUUACUAAAGAAAAAAUUAAGAGGAUUAGAAAGAAAUAUCCUCAAGUUAGAUAUAUUCAUUUAGGUAUAAUCAUGAUUACUAUAAGAGCCUUAUUUAGGAGAGGUCAUGGUAUUCCUAUUAUAGCAGUACUUUUAGAUAAAAGAUUUGAAAAUCCAAUAAAAUCACUUAUUGGAGGAAUUCAGUCUAAUUUACAUAUGGGCGUAAUAGGAUUUAAAGUUAAACCCAAUUACUUUAUUUCCAUUACAGAUCCUCUAAUAGAAGAGUGUCUUUGCCUUAGAAUUCAGACAAAAAAUUCUGAUAUUAAUGAUUUAGCAGAAGAUCUAGCAAUCAGUUGGACUUCUAUUAAUGAAUAUACAAAUACUGCUGAAGUAGAAAUAAAAGAGAUUAAUAACAAAAUUAUUGAACUCUUUGAACCAAACCGGUUCACUACUGAAAUUCAGCCUAGAUUAUUAGAUAUAAGAGAUCUGUCAAUUCCAAGAGAUUGGAUGAUAGAUAAAAUUAGUAAUGCAAGUACUUCUAAACCAGUAAGUACUAUAGAAUACAUGUCAUCUGGAAACAAAUUAUAUUUUAAAAAUAAUUGUAUAACCAAUACAAAUGAAAAUUUAGUUUUACCCUCUAGUUCUCAACCGGAAGAAGAAGAGGAUAAUAUUAGUACAAACAGUACACCAAUAGGAAUUAAAACUAUACAAAUUCCUAUAUUUCCUACUGAACCCAGUAUUAAUUCUAGAAAAACUAGAAUGGAAGAAAUACAGGUUUCAACGAUUGAUAAAAAGUCAAAAGUUGGAAUAAUUAUAAGAAUUACAUUCCAGUUUAGUAAAUAUAAACCAUAUUCUCUAAACGCUAUGAUAGAUACUGGAGCUACAAUCUGUAGUUGCAGAAUGAAUGCGAUCCCUGCAGAAAAAUGAGAAUUAAUUAGAAAACCUAUAAUAAUAAAAGGUAUAGAUGGUAAUAAAACCAUUAUUAAUUAUAAAGCAAAAAAUAUACCAAUCUACAUAAACAAUGUUAGAUUUGUAAUUCCUAAAAUUGUAUGUUUUCCUAGUAUGCAAACAGAUAUAUUAUUAGGAAAUAAUUUUAUACUUAGACAUUUACCUUUUACUAUUAACAAAAAUAGUAUUUGGUUAUCAAAAGAAAAAGAUUUUAUAAAAAUACCAAUUGAAGAAGAUAAUAAAAUUGUGUGUAAUAAAAAUUUUACACCAGUUAAAAUUAAUUAGCCAAUACUUGCAAUUUAUUACUAAUACUUGCUGAUUUUUUAAGCAGGCCUUAUGGAUAGAGGUAAAAAACCUCUACAUCAAGCAAUAGUUGGUGAAUGGACAACCGUUCACAAAAAACCCAUCAAAGGGAAAGCAGAAUCAACAUCCAAAAAAGGAUUUGUACCUGCACAACAAACACCAUUUUAUCCUAACCAAGGAUAUUAUGUGUCUUAUCCAAUGGUAAACCAACCACUUGGAUCAAAUGUUUUAAAUUACCCAAUGGUAAAUCAACCAAUGGGAAAUACUUUUUCAUUGACCCCAAACACGGUGAGUCAAUUACAAUGGUCCCAAAAUCCGAAUUCAGUAUCACAAACAAGUUAUGCUGAAGUCAUUAAGGGAGCAGAGAAUUUGUUGAAUCAACAAUAAAUUCAAGAAUUAAAAGAUCUUUCAAAAAUUAAAGAUUUUUAUAAUCCUGGUUUAUUACCAGAAAUUUAUAAUUUUAUAAAUGAAAUAUGGAAAACCCAUGUUUCACAACAAAGAGCCAGUUUCCGUGGAGCUCUUACCAGAUUUUCAUUAUUUUUAGUUGAAAAAACAACUAAAGAGAAUGAAGCUGAAGAUUUAUUACUAAAAUCUAUUUUAUAUAGAGAAUGGGAUGAAUUCCAGCUAGAAUUCAUUGAUAUUAAGGAGAUAAACAAUCUUCUUGAUAUUAUUCAAUAUUUUAUUCAUAAAGGGAAAAACAAUUCUAUUAUGAAUAAAGUAUUUAGAAUAUGUAUGUAUAAUAAAGCUAGGAAAUUAUUACCAGUAGAAAUAUUCAAAAAAAUAAAUAAAGUAAUUUGCAGACAGCAAAACCAGUUUCAAAAAGCUUUUUCAGAAUAUUUUCUACANNNNNNNNNNNNNNNNNNNNNNNNNNNNNNNNNNNNNNNNNNNNNNNNNNNNNNNNNNNNNNNNNNNNNNNNNNNNNNNNNNNNNNNNNNNNNNNNNNNNAUUUAAUAUAACCAAUAUUGAAUGGAGUUUUACUAAAGAAAUAGUUGUGCAAAAUCUUUCUUUUCAUCUUUUAAAAGAUUUUCCAGCUAUUGUAAAAUCUGUUUUACAAAACAUCAUAAACAAUGAUGAUUUUUAUUACUAUUUUCAUAUUGAUAUUAGUAGUCUAAUUGGUAUAGCUGAACAAGAAAAAUUCUAUCAGCCGUAUCAAAUUUGGAUUAUUAAAAGGAUGAUUGGAACACCCCAAUUAUCUGCUGUAAAUGAAGAUAAAGAACAUUUGUCAAAAACAAUUGAUAAAUGUUAUAAUAAGUUUGAAGAUUAUCAAGUCCAAACAUGAUUAGAUUUAUUAUCACAAGCCCAUUAUCUUCUCUAUGAUGAAGUCUACAAACUCUGGACGGAUGGAAGAAGAAUUUUGACAUUUCCAAAUGGAAACAUCCAGGAGGAAAGAAAUGAAGAAUCUGUGAAGCUAUUAAAAAAGAUUGUUGAAAUGGAGAUAGAAGAAUUUCCAUCUCACAUUACAGAAAAAAUCAAAUACACAUGGGAGAUGUGGAACUCACCACCAAGACUCUCAUCAGAUUCUUUACAUUUGGAUGAGAUCGAAGAAAUGAAUCUCAACAACAUGCAAGAAGGUUGAAGUCAACAAAGACAGCAACUUGAUAAGAAGGAAAUCCACAUACCGACAACAAAGUUUGGCAACGUGGAUGUCAUCAUCAAACCCAUGAUGGAGACAAAAGAAGACAAUCCAUAUGCAGACAAACAAGUCUUGCAACGUGGAAGUUAUCAUCAAACCAAUGAUGAUGUAAGCAAUGAUGGAAGCUACCAUGACACAAGCAAGUGAUGGAAGCAGCCAUUAAUACAAGCAUGCAACGUGGAAACAACCAGGUCCAUGCAAUUAAAGUUACAAAAGAUGGAGACGUGGAAGCAACCACAUCCACAAAGUAGCCGAAUCCUUAUCAGAAACACUGUUCGGGAUUCAAAAUACAAUUGUAUAGAAUUUUUUAAUUUUCCUCUAUAAAUAGGGAGGAAAGCUCAAUUGUAUAGCAUCUUGUAAAUUCCGCAUUAUCUUUCUUUUAGUUUUCUCUCUUCUGUAAACAUUUUCCUUUUGUAAUAAAGAGUCUAUAAAUAGGGAGGAAAGCUCAAUUGUAUAGCAUCUUGUAAAUUCCGCAUUAUCUUUCUUUUAUUGCUAUUUUUAUAUCUCUUACAAUCAUAUUUGGAAGGAAAUAUCAAGAAGAAAAUCAGCUCAAUUUACUUAACCCGCCUAAGAAUUAAUGUUGAGCUUAGAUAAAUUAAGAACUAAAUUAAUCUUACAAAGUUAAUGAAUUAUGAAUACGAGUUGAAUAGUUUAAGGUAUGUUAGACAUUAUUUUUAGGAAUAUUUAUUUAUAUUUUAUAAGAUUUAACAAGUUUUUCUAUCAAUAUAUGACACUCGGAAUAAAUAUUUGAGUCCAAUUCUUAAGCAUGCAAAUUCAUCAUCUAAACUCCUAAUGAUGUACAAUGACUUGUAAAUAAGGGUGUCAAAGUUUUCUUUAAGUAACAAUUAAUCUACCUAUGAGAUUAGCUAGUUAAAUCGAUUUGUUUUCAUUUUUCAACUAGAAAGAUAAAGGUCUUUGUCACCUUAAAAAUGAAAAUUUGUGAUUUAAUCCCUCUGUAAAUGAUAAAUUAUAAAUUAAUAUAUGAUAAAAUUACAUUUUAAAUUUAAAAUGAAAAAAGAUCUAUUUAAUUCCUUUAAAAAUGAUGAAAUCUUAAGUUAAUACAUUAUAAAAAUUUAUAUUAACCUCUAAAAAAAUUAUAAUUCGAUUCUAACACCUAAUAAGUUUAACUAGAUAUGACCAUAUAUACCCCAACCAUUAAAUUGAUCUUUCACAAAUUCUCGUAGAUAAAAUAAUAUUGCAGAAACCAUAUUAACCAAUUAUUAUAAACACAAAUCAAGCAAAAGGAGUAGCUUAAGUUAAGACCCAUCAAAAACAACGUUUUGGAUCCAAUAGAGAGGAGUAAAAAUCCUCAACAAAAUAUACUAAAGAAAAAAUAAACAAUAGAGAGCUGUUUCUAUACAAGAGGAAAUGAAAAGACACAAGAGAGAAAAAAAAAAAAAAAGGAACCAAUCAAUCAUGGUGAUGAUGAAGAAGAGCUGAGGAUAAGAGUUGAUGGGAUAUUUCAUUAUCGUAUUGUAUGAUUAUUUUUUCCAUCUAUGGGUUUUUUUUUUUUUUAAAAAAACUUUGUUUUACGAAGUGAAAUUCGCUAUACUACAAAAUUCAUGCAUAGAUCUUUCACGUAGACAUGACUAAACAAAGGGUUUUCCUUGCAUAUAGGUACGAUUUUCGUUGUUUUUUUUGGGGGGAGGGCGGGGGGUUAAAAUCAAUCAUAUAAACAGUGGGAGCAAAGGAAAAUAUACUGAAUGACAGUAGCUAAUGGAUAGGCAGACAAGGUGCUGUUGCAGCAAACAAGUAAUGGGGUCAAUACCUAUAUGGGUGCUCUUUGUUGGCUCAAGUUUGGACAGUAAACAUAUACGUUUGUACAUGUAAAUUUUGGAAAUCUAUUAUUCUAUUUUUAGGUCAAUUGUAGCAUACAUCUACAAUAUUGAAUUGGUUUUCAAUUAUAUUUGAGUUUUUUUUUUUAAUUACAAGAGGAGGGCAAAGUCCUAACAGGAACACGUUUUGAACUCAGGCCAUGCUUGAGGUGAUGAACACUCUGAUCAUCAGGCCAACACACGGGAUAAGUUUUGAUGUUGAAUGUUAAUUUGAAUUUAACAUGAAUUAUAGGGUUUGAAUUUUGAUUAAUGAGGAGUCAACAAUGGGUAUUAAUAAUUGAUCUCUUAUGUUGUUGUGAUUCAUAUAUUUUAAAUAUGCUUCACAUUAAAUCAAAACUAAUAUUUAAUGACUGAGCUAACGAAAUGGCUUACUUGAUGUGAUCCUAAUAUUUUAAAGAUUCAAUUAAAACUUUUUACAAUUUAUGAACUAAUUUAAAAUAUGGAUCGCUAAUGUCUUCAUUAGAUGGAGAUAGAGUUCUAAGCUUCAGGUUUAUAAUAGAGUUUAUGUUCUGGGAUGAUCUCCGAUGUUUAAGUCAAUGGAAGAAUGACGAAGAAAGUUUGAAAUAAUGUUGUUAAGUGUAUAUGUAGUGGUAAACAUGUUUCUUCUUUAUCCUUGAGCCCCUAGCUGUGUCUAUAGUCAUUGUUCUUGAAGACAAACGAAGAUUAUAUUUAACUCUUUGUUGAAGAUUAUAAUUAGUUGAAGUAUGCGUCCUUAAUUCGAUAAGAUUAUAUUUUUAACUCUUUGUUGGGUACAUGCAACUUAGUCAUCACAUCGCACAUAUAUAUGCACUUGAGAGAUAUGGGGCCUUCCAAGCUAUUGUUUGUGAGAGCUCGAGGCUUUAGCUCUCGACUAAUAAAACUAAAGUUAUAAUUUGAGGAUCACCGAUGAAUUAAUCAUUUACUUUUUUCAAAUUUAUUAAAAUAUUAUUUUAUAAAAUAAUUAUUUCCAUCCAUUAUAUAUUGAUUUAAAUCAUGAGUUAAUGUCACCUUUGACCCAUAAACAAUGAUAAUCACACGAUUAAUUGUGAUAAUUACUUCUAUAAUUGUGAUGUAUAAACAUAAUGUGAUAUUCUUUAUGGCAAUUUAAAUUCCUAAGAUGAAGUGACAAAUGACAUAUUUCCAUAACAUAGAGAAAAAUACUGACGAUACAAUAUGCAAAUUCCAGUGGCAAACUUUGCAUCAAUUAUUAUAUGACUAUAUUUUUGGUACAAAUAUAAUUUAUAUUACAUUUUAAAAAAUUCACAGAAAUCCAAUUCUCAAUAUACGAUAAUGGUUUUUUUUUUUUUUAAAACCUAGAUUAUUCACUACAUGUAGUAAGGCUUAAUUUUUUUUACAGUAAAUAUUCUCCGAAUAAGUAAAUGAAUAAUCAUAAAAAUUGUGACGCUUUUAUUCCUUUAUUUAAUUAAAAUGGUAAUAUAAAUUUAGAUUAAGGAAUAACUUAUAAGGAUGAUCUUAAAAAUUAAGGUUUUUAGGUAUAAAUCAAAUUUUGUCAUAUCAUCAAAUUUUAAUAUUAUAUACACUCAUCUAUAGAACAAUUAUUUUAUGGACCAUUCUCAGUACCACAUUAUUCAUGGUCCAUUUUCAUUUAUUUAAUAACAUUUUAACAAUUUUUUCCAUGUCAUUGACACAUAAUUUUGGUAAUUUUUUACGUUGAAUCUAGAUUCUCGAACCCUAAACUCAAAACCUAGAACCUCAAAUCCUAAACUCGUAGCCCGUAACCUCAAACCUAAACCUUGAAUCUUGAGAUUUGGGGUUUAAGGUUUAAGGUUCAGGAUUCGAGUUAAGGUAAAAUAAUUUUCAAAAUUAUGUGUCAAUGACAUGGAAAAAAAUUACACAAAAAUUAUUAUUUUUUAAAAAAAUGGUUGCACAAAAAUAAAAAAUGUUAACUUAUGGAAAAAAUGAUUAAAUUUUGUAAAAAAAAUGUUUGUUUAUAAUUUAAAAAAUUAAUUAUUUUAAGUAAUUUAAUUAAAGUUAAAUUAAGUUGGAGAAGAUAUGGGAUAUAGAUAGUGUAUUACAAUAUUUUGUUAUCUUUAAAAUUUAAUGACGUGGUACUAUUUUAUUGGUGCCUAAAAACUAUGCUUUUUAGAAUAAUCCUAAUAUGAUUUAUCCCCGGUACAAUAUCAUAAACAAUAUAUGUAUGAUUAAUAAGUACAGUUACAGUUAUAACCCUAGUAUAAUUACAAUACAAAUUACAAAUAAUAUAUAACCAAUCAAUUUAAUGUAAAAUAUAAUAGACUAAAACCUAAAAUAUUAUCUAGAUUUAAACGAGAAUAAAUAUUAACAAAAUCUAGACAUAAUAAACUUAAAUCCAAAAUAAUCUAAAAAAAAAUCCGUAUCUCAAUUUCUACCAUAGUAUAAAAACUUUAUUAGGUUUUAAAAAAUUAAAUCAAUUAAUUUGCUAUUACUUAAAUAAGUUGAUUAUAUUAGUGUAAUGUAGUUUAGAUGUUGUCCAAUUAAUUAUGAAAGAACAAAUGUAACUUAGGAAAAAUUGUAAGUUUUGAAAAUCUUUGAGAUAUAUUCUCGAUUGGUAAAGGUGGAGAGUUGAAUCAUAAAACUAUGAUUUUAUAUUCUACUCCAUGAGGCCUUUACAACAGUAUAUCAUAUGCUCAAAAUGGUUGAGUGAUGAGAGAAAUUGAUAUUCAAAGCAAGCUACUUGUGAAUAUUUGUUGAGGAAAAGGAAAGCUUGGAUUCCACAUUGGUUAAAUACCAAGUUAAUAUGUGUGUAUAUAUGAGAAUCCACUUGAAAGGUGAUUGAAUGAUUAAACUUGAAACUUUACCUUGCGCGUAAAAAGGGUGCAAAUCUAAACACAUCGGAGUUAGGAUACAUCUGCACGACGUGGGCGACACAAAAUGUCCGAACUGAUCAAGCUAAUAUUGGGUUUUCGAAUAUUUUAGUUCAACAUGAAAUUUAUUUUUCUAAGCAAAUAUAUACAAAAUAUGAUUUAAAAUGACAAAUAUCCUAAUUUUAUUUGAUUUGAUUCCAAUCAAAUUGAUUUAAUUUCUCCUUUAAUACAUAUUUUGAUCUUUAUUUAUGGAUAUUUCCAAAAUUCCUCCAUAUUGAAUGCCUAUAAAAAUCUAAGAAUUCUUUAGAAUUUUUUGGACACACUCUCUCUCACACCAAGUUUAUUUUGCUCUCCAGAAUUCUUCUUUUUUCCUCUCCAUAUUUUCCAAUGUUUUCAGUGAUAGAAGAAGGCAAUGUUUGUUCAUUGAUCACCACCGAGGUACUACUGCUUUGAUCAUCGUCACUACACCAGAACAGGUUUUUAGUAGCGUUUUUUUAGGCCUUUAGCGGCGCUUUUUAACGCCACUAAAGGCAUUUGCGGCGCUUGAAGAAGCGCCACAAAAAAUGCCGCUAACGACAACGUCGCUAACUUUUGCGGCGCUUACAGAAAAAAAACGCCGCUAAAGAUCAUGUUCUUUAGCGGCGCUAAGGAAAAAAACGCCGCUAAAGAUCAUGAUCUUUAGCGGCGCUUACGAAAAAACGCCGCUAAAGAUCAUGUUCUUUAGUGGCGCUUGGGAAAAAACGCCGCUAAAGAUCAUGUUCUUUAGCGGCGCUUAGGAAGAAAACGCCGCUAAAAAUAAUGUUCUAUAGUGGCGCUUUGUCAAAAACGCCGCUAACAGUAGUGCUCUUUAGCAGCGCUUAUUUCACAAACACCACUAUUUGAUAUGACUUUUAGCGGCGCUUUUUUAAAAAACGCCACUAAUUUUGGGAUUUUUUUAAAAUAAAAUUUUCUGUUUUUUUCAGCCCUCCUGCAACAAAAAAUCAAAAGCAACCAGAUCUAAAUUAACCAAAAACAAUAAAUUUAUAUAAUAUUUCAAAUUAAAUGACUAAAAUAAUAUUAAUUGAUAUAAAUAAAAGUGAAUUCAUACUUUUCUUUUCAAAAACGUUAAAAGUUAAAAUGAUAAAAAUAUUUAUGCAAUAUACACUAUGACGGCGGAAGUUGCGACUGCUGAAACAUCUUCAUCAUAAUCUGAAGCUGCUGUUGAAGUUCGUCGUACUUUUUGCUCUGCUCUGCUUCUCUUGAUGCCGCAUCUUUUUGAAGUCGUAGCUGUAGUUCUUCAUAUUUCUUUUGAACCUCUGCUUCUACCGCUGUUUCUCUCGCUGCUUCUCUCGCUGUAACCUCUGCUUCCCUCGCUGCCGCCACUGCUUUAAGUUGUUGCUAAAGUUCUUUAUAUUUCCUUUGAACCUCAAAUGUGGUCGCUUGCAUCUGAGCCAUCUGGUCUUUUAACCUCUGAACUUCAGCUUGAGAUUGACUCCCCGAAGCCAUGUAUUGGUGCGAGCUGGAUCCAAAAUAUUAGGUUGGGCUGAUAAAAGAUCCUUGAAAUCGAACCCGACCAUACUUUUUAGGACCCAAAACUUCAGUAAUGAUCCGGUUAUCAAUGUCUUCAAGAUGAACAGAACUAUCACUAGAAGCAAUCGCUUCGUACUCCGUCUUUUUUUCCUUUAGUUUUUCCUAAUAAAUAAAUCACAUAGUUAGGAACGCAAUAUAUAUUAAAAAAACAAAUGCAAUAUAACAAUAGUCGCAUUACAAGCAAUAAAUUAAACCAUUAUAAAAUAAGCACUAUAAAUAACUAAAACAAGUUAAAUCGUAUUAAGUAAACGUACCAUAAUUUCACCAGCUUCAGGAGUCAUAACAGAUCCAUCUUUCUUCUUAUGUGUAAUUUCAAAAAGUUGAAGGCNNNNNNNNNNNNNNNNNNNNNNNNNNNNNNNNNNNNNNNNNNNNNNNNNNNNNNNNNNNNNNNNNNNNNNNNNNNNNNNNNNNNNNNNNNNNNNNNNNNNNNNNNNNNNNNNNNNNNNNNNNNNNNNNNNNNNNNNNNNNNNNNNNNNNNNNNNNNNNNNNNNNNNNNNNNNNNNNNNNNNNNNNNNNNNNNNNNNNNNNNNNNNNNNNNNNNNNNNNNNNNNNNNNNNNNNNNNNNNNNNNNNNNNNNNNNNNNNNNNNNNNNNNNNNNNNNNNNNNNNNNNNNNNNNNNNNNNNNNNNNNNNNNNNNNNNNNNNNNNNNNNNNNNNNNNNNNNNNNNNNNNNNNNNNNNNNNNNNNNNNNNNNNNNNNNNNNNNNNNNNNNNNNNNUUCUUCAAAGUACUUUUAUUGUCUCUCCAUCUUUUUCCCAAUGCCUUCUUUACAUAAGCAUCCGAGACCUCUAAAGCAAACCUCGCCUACAAAAAACACAAGUUAAUAAAGUACAUAUAAAUGAAACUAUUUCCCAAGCAUUACAGAUGACAUUAAUAAAAUUUGUUACCUUAAUAUUAUCGAGGGCUUGGUUUUUGUUGCUAUCGGGCAUUUGACGCCAUGACUCGUAGUUGAUAGGCAACAUAUUCGCAUUUCGUGCUAAAAUGCCCAUGUAUCCUGCUAAAAGUCGAGCUUCUGAUCCAACAGGCUGACCAAAACUGUUUCUGCAUACCUUGACACGCUCGACUAGAUCUAACUCGUAUAACUCUCUAAGUAGCGUACGUCCUCGACCUCUGCGCGUCCCACCAUUUUCAGCUACAAAUGGUAUAUUAUAAAAUAAAAAUUUGAAGAAUAAAUCAAUUAUAAGUCAACACGCAUGUAAAUUAAAUGUAAAAUUACUUUGAACUUCCGUAGGAUCCUCAGGUGUAAUCGGAACAUUCGGAGAUCCAAUUGCUGUCCGUUGUUCAGUACUAUUUGUUUCUGUCGNNNNNNNNNNNNNNNNNNNNNNNNNNNNNNNNNNNNNNNNNNNNNNNNNNNNNNNNNNNNNNNNNNNNNNNNNNNNNNNNNNNNNNNNNNNNNNNNNNNNUUUCCCUUAUAAUUUUUCUUCUAGGCAUUUUAUCUGCAAUACACAUAAAAUGUAAUUAAACUUAAUAACUAAUUACAACAAUAACAGCACAUAUAAAAUAGUUGAAAUAUAUAAUAAGACCAAGAUUUAAUACUAAUAUAAGUUACAUAUAAUUAAACAAUCGUAAAAUCUUACUACAUCAUUAUUCGUAAAUAUCUUCAUCCGUAUCCUGAAGAACCCAUUGAAAUUGUGCACUAGUACUAGGGAUAUUAUCGUUUAAGUUUUGUCUUGGAAAUGGCAAAGUUUCUGAUCUGUCGUCAAUGUUAUCUCUACUUCCACUGCCCAUGUCAAACAAGUCUCUAGAGAUGUUACGGAGUACAACGUACCAACCCUCAUUAGUUGGAUCUUUUGAGUAAAAAACUUGUUUGACUUGAGAUGAGAAUACAUACGGCUCAUCUAUCAGUUGUUGUCCAGUGUGAAUUAAUCGGUCAAAGUUCACCAUUGUAAAACCAAAUUGAUCUUGCUUGAUUCCACGAGCUGUAUUAACAUCGGCCCAAUCACCUCGAAAUAAGACAACUUUCCAUUUGCCGUAGAAAUCCAACUCAAUUAUGUCAGUAAGAUGUCCGAAAUAUUCCACAUUUCCCUCGACAGGAUUAUUGUCCCUAGCACUAGCAUAACUUAUAAUUGUAGAAUUAACAACUAUUCCACAAUUUUGCGUUCUCCUCAACCUCUCGCAAUAUUUUGUAUGAAAUCUGAAUCCGUUGAUGAGGAACGCACUAUAUCUUUUAACCACUCGAUUUGGACCUUGGGAGAGCCAUUUAACUUCGUCGUCUACGUUCUUCCCACUCCAAACCUAUUGAAUGGAAAGUAAACUGAGUAAUUAAAAAUGUUAUGCGAAAACAUUAUUAUUUGUAAGCGGAAGCUCCAACUGCAUACCGUUUGGCUUAACCAUUCAUAAAAAGAUUCUGUAAACAACUUAUUGAUAUCUCGAUGUUGUGUUCUUCCGGAGCGCGAACGAGAUCUCAAUAUUUGUUUGUACUCACUGUGUUAAAAAAUGUUCACUUUGUUAGAAGAUAAACAAUUAUUAGUUUGAUAAAUAUUUAUCAAAUUUGUAGAACUUACUUCCGUAAAGGUUCCAAUGAUUCAUGGUGAAACAGAACAUAUCGAUGUGCUUGUACCCACGAUAAAUGAUCUAAUUCUGCAAUUUCAACUUUACCGAUUGGUUCUCCAAAACUUUGGAACAAAUAAGUAUCGGCUAAGUUAUGGUCUGCGAGUCCAGCAUUCCUAUUUGGUCUGUUCAACCUUGUUUCAACAUCUUCCAAAUAUCUUGAGUAGAAGGUCAUACAUUUCUCUGCCAAGUAGCCUUCAGCAAUUGAUCCUUUUGGAUAUCACUUGUUGCGGUAGUAAGACUUUAAUUUGGAUAGGAACCUAAACACAAUAUACAACAUUAUCAAAAGAUGUAACUAAAGGCAUAGAGGUGAAUGAAGGAAAAUUUUAAAAAUUUUAACUAACACCUUUCUAUGGGAUACAUCCAUCGAUAGAAAACGGGUCCGCCAAGAAUUGCUUCGUGCAGGAGAUGGAUUAUCAAGUGAACUAUAAUGGUGAAGAAUGAAGGUGUGAAGAUUUUCUCCAUGUUGCAUAAAGUCAAAGCGGCUCGAUCCUGUACCUUCUGAAGUUCUUGAACAUCCAAAACUUUGCCACAAUGGCUUUCAUUAUAUUGAUAGUUCAAUUAUACAAGACGUCACCUUCUUGGACAUACAGAUCGUAGAGCAACUGGCAGUAAAUCUUGCAUCAAGAUGUGAUAGUCAUGUGAUUUUAGCGAAUAUAAUCUUCGAUCUUUAACACUAACACAUCAAGAUAUAUUUGAUGCAUACGCAUCUGGAACCUUNNNNNNNNNNNNNNNNNNNNNNNNNNNNNNNNNNNNNNNNNNNNNNNNNNNNNNNNNNNNNNNNNNNNNNNNNNNNNNNNNNNNNNNNNNNNNNNNNNNNAUGCAAAACAGUUCUUUCACCGUCUUGGACAUUGAGAAAAUAGAAGGUGGCAACCGAUAUUUCCCAUUCGGAAGUGGAUUGGGAUGAAGAUCAGGCCAAAUUCCCAUUUGGACUAAAUCAAGUCGACUCUGAAGAUUGUCUUUUGAUUUUCCGUCGACAUUCAAAAUUGUACCCACAAUGUUCUCGCAGACAUUUUUCUCAAUGUGCAUAACAUCAAGAUUGUGUCGUAAAAGGUGAUGCUCCCAAUAAGGCAACUCAAAAAAAUACUUCUUUUUUUCCACAAGUCCGCCUCAUUAGGAUCAUCAUCUUCAUCAGAGUCAUCAUCAGCUUCAUCAUUUGAUCUUCUAUUUCUUUGUGUGCUUGGCGGUUGGUUCAUCUUCCCAUAAAUGAAAUUCAUAUCUUCCAACAUGAACAAGAUUUCAGAGCCACUGGUCUGCAAAAGAGCUUCUCUGAACUCUUCAGUACUGUCCAAUACGGAACUCUGAAAUCUAAAUCUAUGAUUUUUCGGUAACCACCGACGAUGCCCCAUGUAAGAGAACUUCUUCCCAUUGUACAACCAUUGCGAACAUGUUUGUGCAGCACAACAAGGACACCCAUAACGACCCUUGGUACUCCAACCGGAUAAAUUGGCAUAAGCGGGAAAGUCAUUAAUGGUCCACAUCAAAGCUGUACGUAAAUUAAAGUUCUCCUUUCUCAGCACAUCGUAUGUCUCGACACCAGCCAUAAUUGUUUUAACUCUUCAAUAAGUGGCUGUAAAUAAAUGUCGAUAUCAUUCCCGAGCCCUUUCUCUCCAGGGAUAAUCAUAGAUAAGAUAAGGGAAAAUUGCUUCAUGCAAAUCCACCGAGGCAGAUUGUAAGGAACAAGCACUACUGGCCAAGUACUGUACGCAGUGCUCAUGAUCUUGAAAGGAUUAAAUCCAUCAGAUGCUAGCCCAAGCCUCACACUCCUAUGAUCGCUUGCAAAGCCUGGAAAUUUAUUGUCAAAUGAUUUCCAAGCUAAAGAAUCUGCCGGAUGCCUUAGUAAGUCAUCAUCGGUUCGUCCAUCAUGGUGCCACGUCAUUGAUUCUGCUGUCUUCGACGACAUGAAAAGCCUUUGAAGCCGUGGCAUCAUUUUCAUCGUCGUUCCCAUCUUCUGUGUUUCUACUAAUCCAACGGGAUUGGCCGCAUACAUGACAGCACUGUUGGUUUUUUCGAUCGCCCCAAUACAAUAUGCAGUCAUUUGGGCAACUAUGGAUUUUGUUGUACCCAAAGCCUAAAUCUUUUAUUAUUUUCUUCAUAUCUUUGCAUGACUGAGGGAUUUUUGCAAACAGAAACAUUUCUCUCAAAAACUCUAACAGCAUUGUCAACGAGUUUUCGGUCCAUCCUCCCAAACAUUUUAACUAAAAAAGACGAACACAGAAUGACAUUUUUGAAAAUUUUGAGCCCUCAUACAGUUCUUCGUUCAUGUCAUUAAGUAGCGCGUAGAACUUCGCCGCUUCUCCAUUUGGCUCUUCAUGAGGUACACUACUGGCCGGUUCGGUAAAUGCAGUUCCACUAAUAUUACAAUCAUCAGAUGCCACAAAAUCCGCUGGGAACGACUGCACACCAUGAUUAUGCAUAUUAAAUGCAUCUCGCAACAUACCUUCCAUGUCAUCCCCUCUUUCAGACUGAUGGUAUUUAGCAGUACCAGGAUAAGAUACAUCCAUCCUUGAAGAGGAAGUACUAGGCGAGCAUUCUCCAUGAAAAAAUCAUUGCUUAUAACCCCAAACAAACCCAUCAACAAUUAGAUGCUCGUAUACAACCUCACGAUAAUGCCAGUUUAUGUUGACACACUUCUUACACGGGCAAAGAAUCAUGUUCUCUUGGCUUGCAUAUUGAAAUGCAAAAUUUAGAAAAGUCUCAACUCCGUUUCGAUAACCGUUGCUUACCCUUGACAAAUUCAUCCAAGAUCGGUCCAUAUCUUAAUUCUUGAAGUCUGACAUUGACAAUAAAUUGCACGGGUAAGUUAUGUAUUAUGUAAGCUAUGUAAGUUGUGUAUUAUGUAAGUUAUUAUUAUGUAAGUUAUGUAAGUAAUGUAUUAUGUAAGUUGUGUAUAAUGUUAGUUAUCAAAGUUAUGUAUUAUGUAAGUUAUUUAAGUUAUGUAAGUUGUGUAUUAUGUAAGUUAUGUAGGCUAUGUAUGUUAAAUAAGUAAUGUAUUAUGUAAGUUGUGUAUAAUCAGCUUCAUCAAAGUUAGGUAUUAUGUAAGUUAUUUGUGUUAUGUAAGUUGUGUAUUAUGUAAGUUAUGUAGGCUAUGUAUGUUAAGUAAGUAAUGUAUUAUGUAAGUUGUGUAUAAUGUUAGUUAUCAAAGUUAUGUGUUAUGUAAGUUAUUUAAGUUAUGUAAGUUGUGUAUUAUGUAAGUUAUGUAGGCUAUGUAUGUUAAGUAAGUAAUGUAUUAUGUAAGUUGUGUAUAAUGUUAGUUAUCAAAGUUAUGUAUUAUGUAAGUUAUUUAAGUUAUGUAAGUUGUGUAUUAUGUAAGUUAUGUAGGCUAUGUAUUAUGUAAGUUAUUAUGUUAUUAUGUAAUAAGUUUAUAUAUAAGUUUAUAUUAUGUAAGUAUUUCACUUUUAUGUAUCUUAUUUAUAAUUAUUUUUAAAAUUAUAAAAUUCAUUACUAAUAAAAUUGAAAUGUAGGAUAUUUUUUUUUGAAAGAAAACCCGAAGGUUAAAACUUUAUUUAAUCGCAUCAUUAAGAACAAUAUCGUGGAUUUCCGUCGGAAAAUCCAUGUUAAAGUCCAUACAGCUCUUGUUAAGGUUUGCCCAUUUACACAGGGCAUCAGCAACUCUGUUACAACACCUUGGGACCCAUUUAACCGUAAAGAAAUUGAAACCAACUAUGAACUUCCGAAUUUCUUUCAACUGGUGGCCCAUCAAGGUCAAGUCCUCCUUACUGCUGUUGAAACGGUUAACAAUACUUGCGCAAUCUGACUCAAUCGCCACGCACUUCCAGUUUUUGGAACAGGUGUAAUUGAUACUCACUUCCAUGACAUGCGUCUCCGCCCACUCAAUACUUGAAACAUUGUUAGACAUGCCCACACGCCCCCUAAGAAUGAAACCAUCUGUAUCCCUUUCCACCAGACCGUACAACCCCGUAUUCUCAUGGAUAGUAGCAUCGAAAUUAAUCUUGAUAACUCCUGACUCAGGUUUCUGCCAAUCCCUUUCCACAAUAGGCUUAGGUAUCAUCGGCCUGUCCAACAGAUUAAAGAUACGAAAGUCCCUAUUUAAAGCCGCAGCCCUGUCCCAUGUCACCUUGGCAUCCUCCUCUAUAUUACGAAAAACUUUGAUGUUUCUACUAUUCCAAAUAUUCCAGAUGGUAGAAAUAAAAUCCGACAUAGCCUUCUUGUCCAUCACGCGGGCAGCAUCCUCGAUCCAGUUCACGCGCCGGUCAUAAGUACCCUCGAACAGCUUUUGAUUUGACCCCCCAUAGCGCAGCACUGCCCUGGCACUAGGGCACUCUCUCAAAGCGUGAACAAGGGUUUCCCUCUCAACACCACAUCUCGGGCACAUACUGUUGAAAUCCCUCCGGAUUCGAGAGAUAUUCUCAUAAGUAGGUAGAAUGUCAUGCCCCAGGCGCCAGCAGAAAAGCUUAAUUUUUGGCAAGGUUUGCAGUUUCCAAGUAAGGUUCCAGAAAAAACAGUAGGGAUCGUAGCCCACAUUCUUCAAAGUCAUCCAGGAGUAAGCUGACUUGGUAGAGUAAAAACCCUGGGGAUUAUGAAACCAUAUACGUAAAUCAUCCGGGCCAUUAGGAAGAAAGGGAAUUUUACCAAUAUAGUCCCCCAUAUUCUCCCCAUAGAUCACCUUCACUCUACAUUCGUUCCAUCCAUAUUUGUUACUGUUCAAAAGAUCACACACCUUAUUCUCCUGAACCUCCCUUUUAUCGAUACGGAUGGAAUCACCGGAUAAGCCUUCGAAACCCCAGUUAUCCUUCCAAAUGUCAAUAUUGCAGCCAUUCCCCACCCUCCAUCCAAAGCCCUCCUGAAGCCAAGUGAUCGCCUUUUGGAUACUCCGCCAAGUAAAAAAGGGUUUGUCGACCCACUUUGAAUGAAAUACGUCGCCAUCUGGGAAGUACUUAGCCCUUAAAACUUUGUAACAAAGCGAGUCUUUACACCUCAUAAGCCGCCACACCUGUCUGCCUAAUAAAGCAACGUUAAAACGCCUAAGAUCUCUGAAGCCCAGUCCUCCCAUACCCUUCGGAAGGCACAUCCUUUCCCAGGCCAGCAUAUUCCACCCCCUAUUAUUAUCCUUACCCCCCCACCACACCCUCCGGAUCAAGGACUGAAUCUUAUUAAUGACACCGUCCGGGAUAAAGAAAACCGAGAAGGCAUAGGUCGGGAUCGACUGUAGAAUAAAGAUUUCCUUACCACCAUUAGAUAAGAGUCUCUUAGACCAGCUGUUAAUCCUAUUGGCGACACGAUCAAUAAUAUUCUGAAAGACCAUCGAUUUUUUCUUACCCACCGGGAUAGGCAGACCAAGAUAACCAUCAAAAUUAUCCACCAUCUUCAUUUUCAGCAAUCUGCUUAAGGUUUCGCGAUUCACGUUCGGGGUGUUAGGGCUGAAAUAGAUCAUCGACUUGUCUAAAUUGAUACUUUGGCCCGACCUCUUUUCGAAAGUUUCCAGAAUCUUCAUGACAGCCUUUGCUUUAUGCUUUGAAUUCCUAACAAAUAAUAAAGCAUCAUCAGCAAAGAAAAUAUGAUUAAUACUCGGGCCAUUCUUACUAGCCUUAAUGCCUUUAAUACUCUUAGUCUCUUGAGCAUGGGUUAACAUGCGAGACAAGGCAUCCAUGCAAAAAAGAAACAAGUACGGGAAAAGGGGAUCUCCUUGUCUAAGACCCCUUUUCGGGACAAUAAGCUCAGAGAGGGUCAUAUUGCAUUUAACUCUAUAUCGAAUAGUACAGACACAGUCCAUAAUAAUAUGCACCCACUCAUGAGCAAAACCCAUUUUCAGCAUCACAUUUUUAAGAAAGUCCCAAUCCACCCUGUCGUAGACUUUGCUCAUGUCGAGCUUAACCACACAACCUUGUUCGACCCUUUUUUAGAAUUGUAGAGGUUGUGAACCAAUUCAUGGGCCACUAAGACAUUAUCAUGGAUCAUCCGAUUAGGGACAAAAGCACUCUGGUACUGGCUAAUACAAAGGUGGAGGUUCUCUUUUAACCGGUUAGCCAGCACAUUUGCAAUAAUUUUGUAAACCACCCUACAGAGGCUAAUCGGACGAAAGUUAGACAUAUCACAAGGAUUCUUGAUUUUGGGGAUCAAAACAAUUAAGGUUUCAUUGAUACACUCGGCGCUUCUGUUGCCUUUAAGGAUAGAGUGACACAGGCUCAGCACGUUUUUCCCAACGGUAGACCAAUUUUCCUUGAAAAGCUGCCCAAAAGCCCGUCGAUACCAGGGGCCUUACGAGGGUCCAUUUGGUUGAAAGCCUUAAUGAUUUCACCUUCAGUGAAGUCGUCCAGCAGUCUCUUGUUAACGUCCUCGUCAAUACACCUAGGGAUCAAGUGCAUGUCACUAUCAUUCCCCUCAUAAGUCGGCGAUUUAAACAAAUUAUCAAAAUAAUUCUAAGCAAUCUGACAAAUCUCCUUCUUAUCCACGUGCCACACGCCCUGCUCAUCUUUAAUUCUGUCAAUUCUAUUCUUUGAUCUGCGACUCGACGCCCUUACAUGAAAGAAGCGGGUAUUCCCAUCCCCCUCCUUCAGCCACUGUGUCCGCGCCCUCAUGGCCCAAUAUUUCUCUUCCACCUCAUAGAGAUAGCCCAACUUACUUCUGGCUAUUUUCAGGAGACUCGUCGAUCUCUCACUAAUCUGGCCGUCCAUAAGAAUACUAAUUUCCUUCUCCAAUCCUUUGAUGUUGUUUUUUAACUUUCUGUACCGAUUAUACUGCCACGGGCCAAACUUGUCUUUUACCAGCUUCAUCUUGUCCACCGCAUUGCACCCCUCCGUUGACCACGCCUUAGAAAUAAUGUCCUUAGCUUCCUGCUCCUUUGCCCAGCAGAUGUCGUACCUAAACCAACCUCUAGAAACAUAACCCUUCUCCUUAGGCUUGUUGCCAUGCAGAUCCAAUAAGAUAGCCUCAUGGUCCGACUUAGACUGGCGCACAAUGCUCGAGGUAAUGUACGGCAUCUUCUCGAUGAUAGUAUCCGAAAUGAGAAAUCUAUCCAGCCUUUCCUUAAUAACCCCAGUACCCUCUCUAUUAUUAGUCCACGUAAACCACCCGUUAUUGGUUUUGACAUCACUCAGGUUUAACUCUUCCAUAAUACCCCAAAAGUUAUCCAUCACACUCAUAGGCUUUCUGCGGCCCCCUUCCUUUUCCGAAUUGUUAAGGAUAGCGUUGAAAUCCCCACCAACGAUCCAACCUUCGUUAACCUUUAUCUUAACCUUCUUUAACAUAUCCCAUGCAAGGUGCUGAAGAGUGGGGUUAGGGUGGCGAUAGAAACCAGUGAAACGAAUAACCUCGCCAUCGACCAGUUUAAUCAGCGAGUCUAUGUAGAACUUGGAGUAAGUCUGGAUUGUAACAUCAACACCCUCCCUCCACAUCAAAGCCAGACCACCGCUAUUUCCCUCAGAACUAACAGCAAGGCAACCACCCAUCCUACACCUAGACUGAAUACGAGAAAACUCGUUAGCAUGAAUUUUUGUUUCACAUAGAAAGAUAAUGUCGGGAACAUUCGCAACCAGGAGUUGCUUCAGCUCUCGAACUGUCGCUGGGUUCCCGACCCCGCGACAGUUCCAGCAAAAGAUUUUCAUUGCUCUUGGCGGGGCUGGUCACCAGCCGCCGCCUCUGAUGGUGAAAUAGGUCCAGCAAGCCUUCUUUUAACUUGUCUCGCUGGACUUUCAAUCCAAAAAUAACCCUGUAAACACUUUUGUCUCCUUCUCUUACUUUUCGACUUUCCAUUCCCCUCCUUAAGCUGUUUGUACUUUCUACUUUCCAUAGGGGAGGUAGAUAGAGAUUCCUCCUCAAGCACCCUUUCUCUUCCGUCCAUACUUGGUCUCCAGCUUUCAUUGCUUGAUCUAGUCAGACUUUCCUCCUUAUUUUCCUUCAAUUUUACCAUUGAUUUAAACUCUUCCACCCCAUUUCUUCUCAUUCCCUUAUCCUGAUUUGGGGUCACAAUGGGUGCCUUCAUCCAAUUUUCAAAUUGAAGAUUCGAGUUCAUCAUUCCGCCCUUCAUCGCAUUGUUCGUGCACACCUUCAACGUAUGCCCUAUGAUCCCACACGAGUGACAAAAAUCUAGAAGUCUUUCAUAUUUUAACAGACUUAUUCUUUCAUUGCCAUCUUUAUCAGCAAAUUUUACGAUUCUUCUCAGUGGUUUUGACACAUCAAUCUUGACUUUUAGUCUCAUGAAUUCUGUCCAACUCCCAAAUCUGUCCUUCCAAUCGAUUGCCACCAGCACACCAAUUGUAUUACCGACAUCCAAAGCUGUUUGACGGUCCAUGAGUUCUAUAGGGAUGUUGUAAAUUCUCACCCAGAAUGGUACAAAUUGGAAUUCAUAGGAUUCUAACUCCUUUCCUUUCUCGAAAGGAAGCAACGAGAAUAAACACCUGUCAAAAAGCCAUGGUGAGAGAUUUAAAAUACGGCUACGGUCCUCCUGACAUCCGAACUUCACAAUAAUCACCCCAUCUUUCAGAGCUACGAAGUCAACUUCCUCUUUUGUAAACCAAAGCGACUUAAGAACCCUGUACAUCGCCUCCCUGUUUGGUAGUUCGGUCGCCAUGAUCUUUCCCAUUGCCCAUGCCUUCCAGCUUUGAACCCUAUCCGCUACUCCUGUAUUAACAACCAAGGAAGAUUCUUCCUCCGAAAAAUUUAAUUUUCCUAACAGUUCUUUAAUUUCUUCCAUCAAUAAUACAAGAACGAACACUGGCUUUCCCUCCAAGACGUUCAGCCACAAAAGAUCCAAGAAAACACAAAAUAAGCAGGAAAACUACGAUAAUAAACUUUUCAUGCAUGACACACCAACGGCUCUACGUAAGUAAAAACUCAUUAAAAAGAGAAACUAGUGGACCCCGCACGGGCCCACAAAAAGAAAAGACGACCCUAAACAGUAAAAAAAAGGAAAAAAUGGGACACAGGACACAAGAAAACAACAAUCAAAAAGAAAAAAACAAAAAAAGAGAAAGUGGUUAAGACAAGAAAGCACCGCAAGAACACCCAGAAAAGCACCCGGAGAAAGAGGGAAAUCAGAAAGUGGUUAAGACAAGAAAGCACCGCAAGAACACCCAGAAAAGCACCCGGAGAAAGAGGGAAAUCAGGUCCGAGUAAGAGGCGUCAAAACACGUCACAAGACACCAGCACCCAAACAGCAACCCCCACUUGACACCAGGAGAAGCAGACGAAAUCACCCAGUCAAAGCAUCUCCCUCAGAAACCUCCUAACUGCCAUAAUAUUCAAGAGAAUAAGGCAGACGCUUGAAAUGUAAGAUAUAUAUCCAUACCAUAUAUNNNNNNNNNNNNNNNNNNNNNNNNNNNNNNNNNNNNNNNNNNNNNNNNNNNNNNNNNNNNNNNNNNNNNNNNNNNNNNNNNNNNNNNNNNNNNNNNNNNNUUUUAAGUAAUGUAAUAUAUUUAAGUAAUGUAAGUUAUAAAUUUUUGUAAGUAAUAUAUUUAAGUAAUGUAAUAUAUUUUAGUAAGUAAUGUAAUAUAUACUUUAAUCUUAGUAAGUCAUGUAUUUAAGUAAAUUCUAGUAAGUAAUGUAUUUAAGUAAUAUAUUUAAGUAAAUUUUAGUAAUUAAUAUAUUUAAGUAAUGUAAGUUAUAAAUUUUAAAAAUAUAUAUAUUAAUAAUUCAUUGACAUUCAUUGACAAUUCACUGACAGUCAAUCAAUUAAUCGAUCAAUUUGCCAAAUAAUCAUAGAUUAUUAAACAUUAACAUUCAAUCAAUUAAUCACAUCUAACGUCGAUAAUUUAUUCAUUGACAUAAAAUCGAAAAUUGAUAAUUUAUUCACAUUAAACCGAAUAAACUAAUCGCCCAUAAUUUAUUCAAUUACUCAAAUAUAAAAAGUGAUUUAAGAAUCAUAAUCUGAAUUUUAAUAAUUUGCGUAAUUUUUUUUCUUGGGUAAAUGAUACGUACAAAAAUAACAAGCAUAAUGUAAACCUCGCAAUUAUGUAAUAAGCUGCAAAGUUACACGCAAAUUGAGCUAGCAACAUAUAAAGCAAAUAUGAUAAUUAAAACCGAUACCCACAGCUUUAAAACCAAAAAUCUUAAUUAAAACUCCGUUUUAAAACUAAAAAAUAAUAAUUAAACGAUAAAGCUAAAAUAUAACCAAAUCCGAAAUUUAAACAUUUGGAGCUGUUUUUUUUAAGAAAACUAUCUAGGGAAACAUAGAAAUAAAUACCUCAAAUUUCCUCAACUUCGAAGCAACUUCUGCAAAAAAAAACACACACACACACAGACAAGUAAAUUAGUACCAACAAAACAGAAAAAAAAUAACAGAAGGAAACAAAAGAAUAUUUAACUAAAUUAAGAUUCAAAUCUAAAUUUGAAUUUUAAUUAUCACAACAAUCAGAACAAUACAUAAAGACCAAUGCAGAACAGGACUCAAUAUUUCUUCAGAAUUACCGUAUGAAAUAUUUCCAUAUCAAAUUCACUUCAUUAUUAAUACCAUACUGCAAUAUCAAAUAUUUAACAACUUUGAUUCAGAUGAAAUAUCUAAUAUCAAAUUCACAUCAAAGAACAUUUGACAGUAGCCUCAAUUUAGGAUCUAACCAACCAUUCUUUUACAAAUUAUGAACAGUUGACAGUAGCUAAGCUACUGUCUACAGCCUGUCUACAGUCAGAAUUUCGGCAAAUUGCAGCAUUGAGUCUCAUAACCAACAAGAUAUAAUUAGUUACAUUUAACUAAAUAUGAAAAAAAUCUAUUAUUAAAUAAUAUAUGUUGCUAUCGCAAAACAAGGUAGAAAACAGAACAGCUAUUUGCAUAUUCAUUCAGAAAAUCUAGCAAAAUAGACUAGAAAACAAAUCCCAAGAAUUAAUACAAGAUAAUAUUCUUCAAAUAUAUGAUUUUUUUUAAAAAGGCAUACACAUUCCAUUAUCUCCACAAUCGUGGAUCACCCAAAAUCCAAGUAAAAUAAAUAUUAAAAGGCUUUAACAAAUGUACUACAAUUCAUCAAGUUAUACACUUUGAACUCUUGGAGGGACCAAACUUACCUAAAUACGAGCUGAUCAAUAAGGGAGUAUGAGUAUGAAAAUAUGAAUUUCUAAACAUUUUUCAAAUACAUAAAACUUUAAAAAUAUAAAAAUACUCAAGCAUUCGAUCCUUACACUAGAAUCCAAGAAGCAUAGAUUAAAACCGGUGUUUAUUUUUUCCUUUCUAACAAAAUCCUAACCAAAUAACUCACAUUUAUAAUCAAACCCUAAAAAAGCUGGGCUUAAUAAAUCAUAAAAUAAAUAAAAUACCAAUAAAACAUAAAGCACAGCAAUCAUUUGCUCAUAAGAACAUAACUAAAAAUUUAAAGAAAAAGAAAAGCGAAAUAAACAAAAUGAAGGGAGAAACACGCUUCGAAGAUCUAAAAACGGAAGAGGUAGCGACGACGAGAGAAAAUACGAUGAAGAAAGAAGCUAAGACUCGUUGGACUUCUCUAAUAAGUAGAAAACAAACACAGAAGAUCGAUACUUUUUCCCAAACCCUAGACAUGCAGAAAUCCCCAAAUUCCCAAACAAACUGGUUCAAGCUUGGUGAUUGAACUUGGUAUUUAAACCCCAAAUUCCAAAAUUACACUGAAGCAAAACCCUAAAUCAAGAUACAGUGUUUCGAAAGAAAAAACGCUUACCUUUUAACAACAAAUUCCGCAGCUUUGAUAGUAUCCUAUGAAGAUUGACUAAACCUUUGCUUCGUUUGUGAUGAUUUCUGAGUUCUCCUCUCCCUUUUUUUUUUCUUUGUAUUUUUUCACGAUUUCUGGGGAAAAGUUGGGGGGGCCUUUUUUGGGGAGAAAAUACGUUUUUCGGCUAAGUGUUGGGAUGAAAUAUAGAAUGAACAAUUGCGGCGUUUGUAAUAUAGCGCCACUAAUGCCGUUAAUGUGGUAGAUAAACGACAGCGUUUUUUUAAAACUGGAAAGCAAAUUUGCGGCGUUUCCGCAUAGCGCCGCUAAAACAUACCUUUACUGGCGCUUUUACAAUUGCGCCGCAAAAGCCAGUAAAUUCCCGAACAAAAACUACAUCGUUUUGCCCAAACUAUUCAUAAUUUUUUGCGACGUUUAUGAAUAAAACGCCGCUAAUGCCCAUUUUUCUGGCGUUUUUUACAAAAACGCCACUAAAAAAUUAAAUUCUUCUACUGAAACGGCACCAUUUUUUAGAAAUUUUAAAACAUUGUUUUUUUUAAUUCAUAUUUAAAAAACACAAUAUAUAAUUACAAAUUGCGGCGUUUACGAAUAAAACGCCGCUAAUGCCGUUAAUAUGCCAUAGAAAACGACAACGUUUUGAUUAAACUACAGAGCAACUUUGCGGUGUUUUCUUCCUAGCGCCGCUAAUUCCCAACUUUAGUGGCGUUUUUGCCCUUGCGCCGCGAACGCCGUUAAAUUCCCAGCCAAAAACUACACCGUUUUUACCAAAUUAUUAAUAACUUUUUACGGCGUUUUUGCUCAAAAUGCCGCUAAAUCUCACAUCUUUUUAUUUUUUUCUUUCUUUCUUCUAUGUUUCAUUAGAAUUUUAAUUAAUUAAUUAUUAAAAUUUUAAGUAAUGUUUAAAAGUAUUUCAUAAAAUUAUAAAUUUUAGUUUUUUUAUUUCAUUUUUAUUUUUUUUUAUUUUUUCAUAUAUUUUGAUCCUAUCCAAAUUAAAUAAGUAAUUACUUAUAUAUAUAUCCAUAUAAAAAAUAUCGAAUUGUUAAUGUUAAAUAUUUUAAAUAUAAAUUUUAGUAAUUAAAUGUAUCAUUUAACAAGUCUAAAAUAAACCAAAACCCUAAUUUAACCAUUCGGCCGUAUACAUGCAUAUAUAAAAUAGAUCUCUCUCUCUCUCUUUAUAUAUAUAUAUAUAUAUAUACAUAUAUAUAUAUCUAAUUAAUUUAAUAAUAUAUAAACUAUAUAUACAUCUUUGAAAUAUAUCUUAAAUGAUCACUGAACCUCCACCAAUUGUAGGAUUCUUGACAUGUGCUAUCGGUGCCCUAGGAACAUUGCCAAAAUACCGAAAGGGGGCAUCUGCUAGCUUCCAACCCUCGAAAUCCCGUCGUUCAUCAAUAAAUAUUUUUAGAACGAUCAUUUCUACUAUAAAUUAGAAGGCUGAACCAGAUUUUGUAGAGUAGUGACAAAAAUUUGGAGAAACAAAAUCGGAUGGUCACUACUUAAUAUUAAAUUUAUUAUUAUAUAUUUUACAAACAUAUAAGAACAUAUUUAAUAUAUAAAUUAAUAAAACUAAUUAAUCUAAUCAACCAUGAUCCCUAACUUGAGUACCCUUGACACCCUAAACCCUAAAUCCCUAACCCCUAACCCUUAAAUCUCCUAGCCCCUAAAUUCCUAACCCCUAACCCCUAAAUUCCUAACCCUUAACCCCUAACCCCUAAAUCUCUAAUCCUUAACCCCUAAACCUUAUAUCCCAAACCCUAAUAGAGUACAUCAUUCAACUGAAACGACGCCGUUCUGACAGAGUUUCAAGAAUAUUAGCGGCGCUUCCCUAUAAAACGCCACAAUAGAAACUGAUUCCCUAACACGUAACGACGUCGUAUAUUGCAAUAUUUGUGGCGUUUUUGACUAAAACGCCGGUAAAGGCUACCUUUUGCGGCAUUUUUAUAUAGAAACGCCGCUAAAUUUCUCUUCUUUUUUUUGUGUCUUACAUUUAAAUAAUUAAUUACCUAUUUAUUUAACAAAUACAUAAUUACCUACUUAUUUGUUUAUUUAUUUAUACCAAGAUUAUUUUGGUCCUAUAUAUCCUAUAUAUACAAAUUAAAUAAUUAAUAACUAUAUAUAUAUCCAUAUAUAUCAAAAANNNNNNNNNNNNNNNNNNNNNNNNNNNNNNNNNNNNNNNNNNNNNNNNNNNNNNNNNNNNNNNNNNNNNNNNNNNNNNNNNNNNNNNNNNNNNNNNNNNNNNNNNNNNNNNNNNNNNNNNNNNNNNNNNNNNNNNNNNNNNNNNNNNNNNNNNNNNNNNNNNNNNNNNNNNNNNNNNNNNNNNNNNNNNNNNNNNNNNNNNNNNNNNNNNNNNNNNNNNNNNNNNNNNNNNNNNNNNNNNNNNNNNNNNNNNNNNNNNNNNNNNNNNNNNNNNNNNNNNNNNNNNNNNNNNNAGAAACCCUAUCAUGACCGUCUAAACCCUCCGACCAAACCCAAAAAAUUCCCUAAAUUAAUAUUCUUUAAUAAUCACAAAAUAUAGUGAAAAUCUAUUAAACAACAAGUUAUAUAUAGUUAAAAAUGUUGUACAAAGUUGAAAUAUGCUAGCAAUAUUAUCUUUAUGACAAAAAUUUUCGUAUGGAUCUAAAUAUAAGUUUUUAUCAUUUUUGAACUUAAAUAUCGAUAUUUUUGCAUCUGGUAUUGCUAUAGUCAUAUGUAUCAAAAAAAAUCACCGACGAUAGGGUUAAAUGUUUUUAAAUAUACAAGAUAAUUAAUUGUAUCAUUUAACAAGUCUCAAAUUAUAAAUUAACCAAUCAAUCGACAUGCAUAAAGUGAUCAUGAUCUACCUAUUAUAAUAGUCUAUAUAUUAAAUUUAUUCUGGAUCUAUUUUACAAAUAUAUAAGAACAUAUAUAUUAACCAUAAAAAUUAAUCAAAAACUAAUAUUAAUCUAAAUUAAACCCUAGCUAACAUGACCGUUGAAACCCUAAAUCCCAAACCUUAAAUCUAUACCCCGUACUCCUUAAAAUACCGUCCAUAAAAAAAUUCCCUAAAUCUUUAAUAUAUAUAAUCAUAAAAUAUAGUCAAAAUCGAUUAAACAAUAAUUAAUUGUUAAAAUAUAUUUUGUAUAAAUUGGUGUUUUAUAUUAAUUNNNNNNNNNNNNNNNNNNNNNNNNNNNNNNNNNNNNNNNNNNNNNNNNNNNNNNNNNNNNNNNNNNNNNNNNNNNNNNNNNNNNNNNNNNNNNNNNNNNNUUGAUUUAUUUAGUCGAACAGUACUACCAAAAUUUAUUACUCUUAUAAAAGUUAAUUCUAUUUUUAAUUUAUUCUUUACAAUACAAAAAUUUAAGUUUUAUUAUUAUAUUUUAUUCAUAAUUUAAUAUAUUUUCUCUCGUAAAGUAGUUUAAAUCAACUGUGAUUGAAAAUUAGUAAUAAAUAGUUAGCUGUUAUAUAUAUAUACGACUUCUCUUUAAUAAAAACUUUUUGUAUUAAUCAAUAUUAUUUGUUAAUUAUAAUUUAAAUGUAAAUUGUACCACUAUAUAAUAAAUAGAACAAAAUAUUAAUUAUUUCAACUUAUAAGAUUUUUGUUACUAUUAGUGGCGCUUCGGCAAAAACGCCGCUAAAGCUAAAUGCAUUAGUGGCGCUUAGAUAAAAACGCCGCUAAAGGCCAGAGAAUUAGCGGCACUCAGAUAAAAACGCCGCUAAAUAUCCGAGCAUUAGCGGCGCUUAGAUAAAAACGCCGCUAAUUCCUAUUUUUAGCGGCGCUUGGUGGAAAUCGCCGCUGAUGCUCUACCUUUAGCGGCGCUUUGGCUAAAUCGCCGCUAAUGCUCGAUUUUUUGUGGCGCUUUUGUUCCAAACGCCGCUAAAAGUGCCGCUAAAAGCCUAUUCUGGUGUAGUGCGUGUUGUUGUAUCCUAUGAGAUAGUCGAUCAACGUUUCUCCAAGUAUCGUAAGAACAGUCAAAUCUGUCUUUAGGAAACUAUGUAAAACAAGCCUCAACAUUUUAUAAAACUCGAUUCUUUAUUCGAUUUCUGAUUUUUCAUAAUCAUAUUUAUUUAAUUUAUUUUUCAUAUUUGGUAUUUUAAAUAUAAAUACUUAUUUUAUUUUAUAUAAAUAUUUAUUUAUAUUCAUAUUUUUUGACUAACUAUUUUGUUACAUUCAGUCACCACAACAUGUGAAUAUUUAUGUCUAAAUACAGUAAUGUUUUUAAUAAAAAGAGAUUGAGCAAAUCAACCGAUUGAUAUUUUAUUAAAACUUUUUUAUUCUUAUUGCAUGUUCUAUAAAGUCACAUUUUUCGCUUUUAGCUGUGAGUUGCAUCAGGUCUAUUAUUGUGUGACGUGUUAUUUCACAUGUUAUUUAUCAGUUAAUAAUACUUAUAAUAAAUUUCUUAACGGAUUUACAGAAUAUAGAUGAUUAGUUAUUAGGUUCGUUCGAAUAAUUACUUUAAAAAAAUAUGUCGUUAGUCCUCAUACUCUAUAGAAUUUAAAACUUAAUCCUGUUAAAAAUUUACUUAUCUUACUUUUUCAAUUAAAAAAUCCUAGUUCAAUCAUUUUUGUCGUUGAAAUCUAUUAGUAUAAUAUGUUUAUUUUUCGUCAAUCAUAUACCAUGUUGCUUAAAAGGCAACCUAAUCAAUAUAGCAAAUUAACAAAUUUUUUGGAAAAUAUUUACAAUUUUAAUGAUUGUCUUGGAAUUUUUAAAUAAAAAAUAUAUGAACUAAAACUUAAAUUUUAUCAAAGUAGAGGGACUACAUAUUUUAACCAAUAGAUAAUAUUCAUACCAAUUACAUUACAAGCAUAAGUGAUGAAAAUUUGAACAAAGCGAAACUAAUCCGAAAAGGAGUUAAGAUCCGCUCUUACUUUUUCAUUUAUUAAUAUUCAAUACAAUGAUCAUCGCCAUUUAAAUGUGUAAGACCCAUGUAGGACUCAUCUAUUAAAAAUAAAAAUCAACAUGUGAACGAUGAUUAAAUAUGCAUGGAUAUUAAUGGAUAAAAAAGUAAUAGAGUGGAGUCAAACCUUUCGAAUAGAACAAGACAAAAUCGACACAUAUUGAAAAUGGGACCCACAUAUCGCAAUUAUAAAUUGUACGACUUGAACUUGGACCUUCAAGGUUUGGAACCUUAACGUUUGCUAACUACGUUAAGGUCUCAUUGGUUAUAAUUGACAUUAUUUUUAUUUGCUCACUUUUAAAUAAUAGGUUUAUAAGUUUAAAAAAGCCCUUAAAAUGUAAAAAAAAAUAAUUAAUUAUUAAGCUCCUAUACUAAAUUCACACUCAAUUAAGCCCCUACCAUUAAUUAAAAUAAUCAAUUAAGCCCCUCCAUCAACGAUAUUGUCAUUGACCACGUUGACCGUUAAAAUAAAUUGAUAGACCAAUCGGAUGGUAACACGUAAUAGCUUCUAGUUUAAUCUAAUAUUUUCUCAUAAGAAUAUUAAAAAAUUAGAAUAAAAAUUAUAAAAAAUAAAAUUAUUAAUAUUAAAUUUAUAUAAACUUCUAAAAAUUAUAAAAAAUAUAUAAAAAUAAUAAAUUAUAAUAAAAUUAUAAAUUAUAAUAAAAUAAUAAAAUAUUUUUUAAAAAUAUUUAAAAUUUUAUAAAAAUUUUAAAAAUCAUAAAAAUUUGAAUUGGACCGGAUCAGUUUAUUGGACAGAUUAGACUGAAAUUGACAAAGAUAUCGGUACAGAGAAAGUUAUUAAACUGAUUAACUUAGGAAUUGGACAAUUGAAGCGAUUUUUUAUUUAUUUAAUGGAACCGGAUGGAUCUAUCGAGCUGAUAAAUUAGUGAUUUAAUCGAUUCGGCUAUUAGUCCGAUUUUAAAAACUUUAAUUAGAAUAUUUCAUUUUGAUAUAUAAUAAUGGUUAGAAAAAGAAAUUUUGAUACGAUAAUAAAAUUUUAAAAAAUCAUUAAAUUACCGAUCACCGACUUUAACAUAUGGGUGUUGACAUUUGACAUGUGGCCUAAUUUGGGGGGAAAAAAGUGAAUAAUUUUUGUUUGAUGUUUCAAAUAAUGAGUUUAUAAUACUUACCACCUCCCGAUGUUGAGUUCUCUUCCAAAUUGACAGCGAUUGAUGCGGCCAACUCAGACAGAACGACACAGUUUAAUAUCUGUGUGCUUUUCACGCGCUUUUAGGAGUGUGAGCAAAAAUAGAAAGAGUGAGAUUGGCAGAGAGAUGAUGAGUUUAAUUUGUCUAAUAUAUUUUUUGUUAUCUAACUAUAGUAUAAAUUCUAAAUUGGUCCUCAAAUUUUAAAAUAUUCUAAUUGAAUCCUUAAACUACAAUAGCAUAUCAAUUAUGUCUAUGUCAACCUAGAAAUUAGCUUAAAUGUUAUAUUUAAAAUAAUAGAUCAAUUUAUAAAAAGACAUAUUACAGUUUGAAUUCAUGUAUUUUAAAUCAAUUGACAUUUAUUGUCUAAAUCGACUGAAGGAUUUGGUUGAUAUAAUAUUAGUACUUUGAGUUAAUUGAGUCUUAGUUCAGUUGAUAUCGAUAUUAUUGUUAGUGUAGGAGGACAUGGGUUCGAGUAUGCUAAAGUUCAUUUAUCCUCUUAUUUAAGGAUUGGAUGGGAUUAUGAAUAGUUUUAGGUAUUGUAUAAAAAAUAUUAAUAUUUUGAGAUUUAUUUACAAUUGGAUCCAUGUAUCUUAAAUAUUCUUCACAUUAGAUCUAAACUAACAUUUAAUGUUUAAAUUAACGGCUAAGUUGACAAAAGUUUUUUUUUUGGGGGGGUUGAGAUAAAAAGCUUCGAUUCAUACAAUAUAUACUUUGAUAUAUGAGUGCAGAGAGGGAGGCAUGCAAAGCCCUAGCCCCUCUAAAAUGAAAAUUUAUUGAUUUAGUCCCCUAAAAUUUAUAAAAUCUUAAGUUAUAUUUUACCUCGUCCCAAAAUGCUAAUAUUUUGAUCUAGUUCUUUUGAAAACCAUAAAGAUAUAAGUUAAUAUAAGGAUAAAUUUGUAUUUUAGCUCUUAUAAAAAAUAUAACUUAAUCUCAGCCCCUAAAAAUAUAUAAGCUAAUAUUACGAUUGGGUCCACGUGUUUUAAAUAUUAUUCACAUCAAACUUGAACUAGUAUUUAGCAUCUAAAUUGACAAUUAAGUUAACAGAAGGACUAAUUUAAAGUCUAAUCAAUCCUUUAAGGACUUUUGAUUAAUUAAUCAUUUUUAGCUAAAGAAUUUUUACACAAUUACCCAUGAUGGAUUCUCGAUCGAUCUAAUGUAAAGUUUUAAUCUUUAACUUAUAUAUUCAACUAAAUUAAUAAUUUUUAAUAUAAAAAAUACAAACUUUAAAUGUAAACAAAUUAUAUAGACAUUUAAUAAAAUGUAGACACUUUUUAAGAAGCACUCCAUAUGAACAUAUAUGUGGUGUUGAAAAAAGGCACUGUUUCCACAUUUCCAGAUCCAAGUUCAUUCAGCCACCGACACACAAAGUUUCCUAAUCUCGAAGUCAAGUUUUUUUCUUUCUUCUUUAAAAUUUUCCUGGAAACUUAACCAUUCUCGGGAUUUCCCAAGAAAAGUUAAAGUCUCUCCUUCGUUAGUUUUAGUUUCCUUUUGGGGGAUCAUUUGGAUUCUGGGUAAGUGUAUCAAUGCUUUCUGAAUUUAAUUUUCAAGUAUUAAAAAUGGGUUUGCUUUAAAAAUGCAAGCUGUUGAUCUGUUUCAGAUUAUAAUCCACUUUUCGAUCCUGCAUUUUAUUCCUUUUCCACUACCAUUACUGCAAAAAAAAAAAAAGUUGCUGUUUUUUUCUUUUCUGUUUUUGUGCUUUAUUAAUAGUGAUCUUUGUAUUUUUGUUAGCUUAAGGUCUAAUAUUUACUUCUUCUUUUUUUUUUUUUUUGAAUUUUCUCUUUGGAUUGGAUUAGUGUAAUUGUUGUUAUUAUUAGUAUGCUGGGAAGUGAAAAGUUGAAUUGAAUAUCAAUGAUUUUAAGUUUUGUUCAUAAUAAACUACUACUUGAAUAUUUAGUUCAUGGGUUGAUCUGGAUUUUUCAUUGCAUAAACACUGUCGAUUUGAUUUUUUGCAUUAAUUUCUUUCAUAUGAUUCAUUUUCGGCUUUAUUGCAAACUUCUAGUUGAUGAAAUGUUGUGGUAUUAUUAAGUUGAAUUAUAUGAAUAUGUCGGAUUUUGAAGAAUUUCGAUGUUUUUCCGAUGUUUUGCCGACAGGUUAAAUCGAAAGGAAGUCCGACAUGUUCCGGCUUUCACCUGGUAGGAACCAAAGAUCGAAAGGAUUGAAGGUGAAGCAUGCUCUACAAAUAUGUGUUCUUGUUGGUAUUUGCAUUUGGCUGCUUUACCAAGUUAAGCACUCCGGGGAGAAGAAAGCGAUUUAUGAGAAAUCUGGGAGCGAUGUUGUCAAGUUGGGGCGAAAAGACUUCCCUCGAUCGGAAGGGAUGACUGUUACAGAUGCACGGCAUAAGGAGGAAGAAGAGGAAGAAAGUAAGAAUGGAGAAGAAGAUAAUAAGCCUGAGGUAACCGAAGAUGAAGGAAAUGGGGAAGUCGGUGGGAUGCAUGAGCAUGAUAAUGAGAAACCCGAGGAGGGAACCGAGCAUGAAGAACGUAGGAACGACGAUAACGAAGAGACUAUGGAAAAUGAAAACAAAGGAAAUGAGGAGACUCGUGAAGGCGAUAAUGAAGAGAAAGAGAACAUCGAGGAUAGUCGAGAAAAGGAAAAUAAAGGGAUUGGGGAAGAGAGCAAUGAGACGGAGAAGAGUGAAGGUGAGAUAGAGAAUGCAGGUAGCUCGGAUGAUCGGGUUCGUGAUGGAAUUGAUGGGAAUAAUGAAGAAGCGAGAGAAGAACAUUACAAGGGGGAUGAUGCUUCAAGUGAAGUAGUCCAUGACACCCAAAAUGAGACGAGUGGUUCAGAAAAUUCCAACGAGGCUGAGCAGUUGGAAAACAAAGAUAAGAAUGACCGGGAGGACGAAACAAAUAGCAGUGAAGCGGCCAAUGUCGGUCAUGAAGAGUCGAAUGUGCAAGAAAAUGGAACAGCUGAAAACAAUCAAGAAAGCAGUAAUGGGAGUAACGAAGCCAAGUCUAAAGAAGAUGCACAUCCCGAUACAGCUACGGAAUUGAAUGAGAAUCUGACAGAUACAACACACAGUUCAACCGAGAAUGUAAAUGGUAUGGUUCAGCUAUCUGAGAAAUCGGAUUCAGGUGGGAAUGACGAGCACUCGGAUUCAAAUACAACCCCUACUUCAACUGAGAAUGGGGAUGGAGCUAAUGGAGGUUCUACAAGUAAUUCGGAUUCCGGUGAAUCAAAUGGACAGACUGAAAAAUCGAAUGCCGGAUCAGACAGCAAUUCAAAUGCUGUUCAGAGUGAAGAAUCAAACAAUAAUUCUGGAGGAGAGGGGACACACACAAAUGAAAAUUCAAAUGCUGACCAGAACAGUGGAACAUCGUCGAACACUAAUGAUAAUGCUGGUGCAGGUCAGAAUGAGAAUGAUAGUAGCAAUUCGAACAAUGACGGGAAUGCGAAUGGGAAUGGUGGCAGCACAGACAAUCAGAGCAACACCAAUGGCAAUGUAAAUGCAAAUGAAGAUGUUACUCAAAAGGAAAACAACGAUUCAAGUUCAAAUGAAAAUGCCGCACAGAGCAACACCAGCAACAAAGAAAAUGCGGGUCAGGACGAGAAGAAUGCCACUCAGAGUAACACUGACAACAAUGAAAAUGUGGGUCAGAAUGAGAACAAUGCUGCUCAGAGCAACACUGAGAACAAUGAAAAUGCGGGUCAGAAUGAGAGCAAUGCUGCUCAGAGCAACACCGAGAACAAUGAAAAUGCGAGUCAGAACGAGAGCAAUGCAACUCAGAGCAACACCGAGAACAAUGAGAAUGCGGAUCAGAACGAGCACAAUGCUGCUCCAAGUAACACUGAGAACAAUGAGAAUGCGGGUCAGAACGAGAACAAUGCCACUCCAAGUAACACCGACAACAAUGAGAAUGCAGGUCAGAACGAGAACAAUGUGACUCAGAGCAACACUGACAACAGCAACAGCAACAACAACAACAACAACGAAAAUGCAAGUCAAAACGAGAACAAUGCUGCUCAGAGCAGUAACAACAAUGAAAAUGCAAGUCAGGAUGAGAACAAUGCAUCUCAGAGCUUCACCGACACCACCAACAACAAUGAAAAUACAAGUCAGGAUGAGAACAAUGCAUCUCAAAGCUUCACCGACACCACCAACAACAAUGAAAAUGCAAGUCAGAACGAAAACAAUGCUUCUCAGAGCUACACCGACACCACCACCAACGAGAGCAACGAUGCCAUUCAGACCAAUACCAACAGCAACGAAAACUCAAGUCCAAAUGAGAACAAUGCCGUUCAGUCCUCCAAUAACGAAAAUGCAGGUCAGAACGAGAACGAGAACAAUGCUACUCACAGCUUCAACGACAGCAACGGGAGCAGCAAUUACGACACAAGUACAGAUGGAAACACCCAGAAUAAUCCCGACACUUCUUCAACGAAUCAAGAAGUAAAAGAAGGUGAAACCGGUUUGGGAACUUUGCCAGGUACCACAACAAGUGAGGGAAAUAAAAGUGAGAAUGCAGCUGCAGAAUGAAAUUUAUAAUGGUUUGUGAUUUCAGUAUAUGAACUAAUUACUGUCACUAAAUUUUUGUUUUUCUUCUUUCCUGAUAUGGGAUCGGGAAACUGUAUGUUCCUGGUUACUUGUGCCUUUGUUGUCAUAUUAGUGCUGAAAAUUUUUAUAUUAUUUUGUACUUGUAGAUUUCUAGUUAUAAUAAUUGAAGUUCCCCAGUUUUCAUAUCUUUAUGAGGAUAUAUAUAAUAGGAAAGAAAAUCCUUUUUAGGUUUCUCUUCAAAUGUGUCUCUUGGUGCUUAAAUCAUCCUACAAAAAUAGAACUGCUUGACAUUUGGGAUAAUUACAUCAAAUAUUCUCAACUAGUCCUCAAAUUAUUAAUAUUGUAUUAAUCAGGUCUUUCUACUAGUUUAGCUAUCAAUGCACUUCGAAUUUGACGAAUUAUGGAUUCGAAUAUCCACAUGGAUCUUUUUUUUUUUCGGAUUCGGAUAAUAUUUGGAUUUUAUGAUUAUUAUCUAAUAGGAAUUUGAACUGGAUGUGGAUAGAUGUCUCGGAUAUUCGAUUAUCCAAAUCCGAUUACUUGUUUGGGUAAUGGAUGUAAAUUUAAAUUCAAACACCCAAACCUAGUGGUACAAAAUACUUAUAGUUUUGAUUUUAUAUAUCUAAAAAGAAUUUUACUGUAUUUGAAUUCGGAUUUUUGCAGAUUUGAAAAUUCGAAAAAUGGUUAGAAAUUUUGAAUUUCUUUUUCAAAUUUGAAAAAUGACAAUUUCAAUAAAUUUUAGGACAGUUAUUAUUGUUUUUAAAAAAAGUCAAAUAUAAGUUGUUUAUGCAAUAGGUACACUCUAGACAUAUAGUUUAAGUAGUAUUAAAUGUUCAAGCUAGACAAAAUGACCUAAUCGAUACAAUACAAAUACCUUUAAAAGGAUCCAAUUAAAACCUUUUAAAUUUUGAGGACCAAUGAUGGUAUUAGCCCUUUUUUUCUUUCAAAAUUCCAUGAAUUUAUUGCUUAAAUUGCAAGGACCAAUGGGGUUGGUGAAGCCUGAUGGUGCCUCAAUACCUUAUUAAUGGACAUCCCAACUCCUCCCAUGGUACUUGCUAUUUAUUUUGUUAGGUAAUUCAUAAUUAGUUGCUUUUGUUUUGCUUCAACAUGCAUAUUAUCAUUAAGAAAGACCUGUGGGGAUCUAUUUUUAUGAAAUGAAUUAGAUAAAGUACUAAUUGGUACAAUCAAUUAUAGCUGCAAUGUUUUCAUAUGGAAUUUUCUUUUCUUCCAAAGGACCUAAUCAUGAACAAUCAUUUUCAUUUUAAAAAAUACAACAUGGUGCACUCAUAUGGUAAAAAAAAAAAUUUUUUUGGAUAAUAUAAUUUUUGGCCCCUGAAUUUAGCAAUUAGGUCCACUUUGGUACUUGAACUUGGCAACUAGAUCCAUUUUGGUCUUUGAACUUAGAUCCUAUCAAGAUUUAAUGAUGUGACCAGUAUUACUGAAACAUGAUUAGAUUAGACUUGGAAUUGAUCGAUAUAAUGGUCCGAACAAAGGGUUAAAUCGAUCGACUCGAAAACAGCUUGAAACUGGUAAAAAUUGAAAACCGAAACAAAAAUCAAUAGUUGAAUAAGUUGAAUUGGAUUAAUAUUUUUUUAUGAUUUUUUAAUUAUUAUUUGUUUGGCAGUCGAAUUGGUUGAAUUGGGAAUCAAUGGUCUAGCCUGUUCAACCCGGACCAAUUAUUAAAAUAUUGAAUGUGACACUUUGAGAUUGUAUCACAUCACCACAUAAAAAUUUAUAUUAAUUUUUAAAUUUUCAAGUGAUGAUAUUGUGCUUAGUUGUAAAGUUCAAGUCUCAAAGUGGACAAAAAAUAUAGGUACCAAAAUAAAUAUUGUUGCCAAGUUCAGGGGUCAAAAUUAUAUUAUCCAUAUUUCUUUCAUUUGGUAGGUAAAAGGAUGCGUUGUCAUCUCAUCAAGAGCAUCUUUCGAAAAGAGAGAAAUAUUUUUAAGGUUAAUAUAUUAUUUGGUACCUAUAUUUAGCUUGAAUGUUUAAUUUUGUACUUGAGCUUUUAUGUCCCAAUUUGAUAUUUGAGUUUAACUUAAAUGUUCAAUUUAGAACCUAGGUCAUUUCAAAUUGAUACUUGAGUUUUUCUUUGUCCUAUUUAAGUACUUAAAUUUAACUUCAAUGUUCAAUUUUAUACUUGGGCAAAAGUACCAUUGAGACCCCUAUACUAAGAGUCGGAUAUCAUUUUGCCCCCUCUACUAAAAAAGAUGACAAAUUCAUCUUUGUACAUUAGAUUAAGAAGCAAAUUGGUCCUUUUGAUAAAAAUUCCAUCCAUUUCUACUAUUAAGUUAUAAUUGAUUAUUGUCUACUUGCUUGAAUUAGUCCCUCCACAUAAAAAGUUUCACCCAUUUCACAGUUUAUCAACCAUUCAUUUCUUCUAUUAAAAAUUUCAUCCGAUUUGCUUGAAUUUAUACCUCGAUGACAACAUGAGGUACACGUGGCACGCUAAGUGUCAUUAUUUGGUUGCUCCAUCAAGCAUGUUAGCACUUAACGGUAAAAGGGGAUAUUUUUUUUAAACAGAAAAUCAAUUUACUAUUUAAUCUAACGUAUAAGGAUUGAUUUGCCCAUUUUUCGAGUAUAUGAGUCAAAAUGCAAUUUGACUCAUAGUACAAAGGCCUCCAUGAUACUUUUACCUUUAUACUUAAGUUUUUCUUUUUCUCCCAAUUAAGUACCUAUGCUUUCUUUUCUUUUUUUUUGCUAGAGCACACAUGUCAAACAUUUAUUGGACCGUAUGGUGCUGUUCAGUUUGAGUGCCAAAUUGGAUAUUGAAGCCAAACUCAAAAACCAAAUUAGGACAAAAAAACUCGAAAGCCGAAUUAAACAUUGAAGCCAAAUAUAAAUACCAAAUGAUAUAUUAACCCAAACAUUUAUCUUAGGUCAAUUUUUAACACCAACAUCAAUUGAGUCAGAAUAAAAGAAGAUUAAUGUCUCUUAAAGUAAAAUCUAAAGUCUUUUAGUUUCUUUUUUUAAGUAAGUUUAUGAGUAUUUAAUUUUCUUUCUAUUGAACCCAUGUGAUGGCAUAAUAGUUAAGGGUGUUUACAACCCUAGGUGUAACGUAGGUUCGAAUCACACUAAUUACGUUCGUUAUUUAGGCUUUGCCCUAUUAUUGUAAUUUACAAAAAAAAAACUAUUUUUAUCUAAUUUUCAUAAAAUUAAUCCACAUGUUACGAUUUUAUUUGAGUAUCAAAUUGAAUAAUAAAACUAAACUUAAAUAUUAAAUUAAACAUUGAAACCAAAUUAAAUACAAAAUCACAUGUCAGCCUAGACUUCGUCUCAACAUAAACAAGACAAACUUCAUGGAUUUGGUGCACAUGGUAUUGAUCCAUAUUGAACAUUACCAGUCUUUUGGUCCCAACAAAAGCAUUUUGAUAUUCUAAAUUAAAUUUAAUACCUUAAACCAACUUUAAAUGAUUAUAUUUUUAUGUUCAUCGGUUUUAUAUUUUCAUAAUUACAUUUAAAUUUAAAUUAAGUUAGAAUAUAGAAUUAAUAAUUUCGCAUUUUCAUAUAGAUAUAUUGUAUAAUAUAUAUUUCGUUAAAAAUUUAAAAGCAAAAAAUAUAUGUAUAAUUAUUUUUAAAAAUACCCACUGAAAACUGAUAUCGGUAGGCAUCAAUACUAUAACAAAAACUAUAUAUGCCCAUACUAAUAUUUUGGCUGAAAAAGAAUAUAUCCUUCUUUGAGUAGUUCAUGCAAGCAUUCAAUAGAACCAUAUCCACAACAAACCAUUCAGUAAUCUUAUUAUUUCGAAACAGAGUAUGGUAGGCAGGCACAACCAUAUAGAAAACCUGAUGAACUUGCAAUUCAAAGUCCAGAAACCGGAAAUCGAGUGCUAAAAUUACAAAAGAUCCACAGAAUUAUCUGAUUGAUUUCUCAGAGAAAUGAUAAAAAUGCGCCGAACUCGGAAAGAUAUGCAUCUGUCUGGCCAUCCCUAGUGAUGCUCCUUUGUCUCAAACAGACCAUCCGGACCUGAAUAACAUGAUAAAUAAAACAAUGAAAAGAUUGAAUCGACCGAUUAGAUAAAUGAGUAACAAUAACCUUAAUAUAUGACCAUCCUUGAUUAAGCAUACAUCCACUUCCAAUAUUGGAAAAUUAGAAACUCCAAAUGAUAAUAUUAAAUUUUAUACCUAGAUUCCUUGAUCACUCAUGAACCUAUUUCUUUUAAAUAGGCUCAUCAUCAAUCACAACAAAAAAUGCUUGCUAGGUCAAGGGUGGCCAAGCCUACAACAGCGAGUAAAUAGCAAUGGCCUUGGUAUCAAACUUUACGAAUAAGAAAAUGGUGGUUUUUUUUAGUUCAUAUGCGAUUGUCAAACUCUCCUACCAGUAAUAACAGUUAUCUAGAAAAACAAAAAUAAAAAAGAAGGGCAUUCUUAGAUUAGUUUUUCAUUAAAAUCGCAAAACGAGACACAACCAAAACAUCAUGUUUAUAAGAUUCCUGGGUUAGAUAACAUAAUACAAUUAGAGACAAGCUAAACCCAAUAAUGUAACUGUAAAAAUGAUCAAAUGAAAAUGAGUUUAGACCAGGUCUUAGCAAUUUAUCUAGGAAUUAGGCAUGUGGAAACAUAAGCAAUGAAUGUAAGAUAGGCUGAAAGGAAACUUUUCACCUAGAAUUUAGUUUAGGACAAAAACUAGUGUUAUAGUUAGUAAUCUAACAUAACAUAGGAAGUAAAUACUGCGUUACUUGGCCUUGGGUGUGAAUGUCAGAUAUAGGUAUGUAUCCGACCUUUUCUAAGUUUUUCCAUAUAUUUGGAUGAUCAUUGAAGGUCAAAUCCCCAUAUCCAUGUGUCGGACACAGUUACUUCAGGAAAAAUGAAGAGUCUAAGUAACAUAGAGUAAAUAUCCAACAUGUAACAACAUUCAAAAUAUGACUGCAAAGAUUAGGUGAAAGAGAGGAAAAAGAUGGCCAUUUUUUUCCAUGGGUAGAAGAUGGAAAACUAAUGAUUACUAGUAACCAAAUUAAGUUAAAACAAGACAGACCAUAAUUGGUUGCCGAUAGCAUGUUGGAUGUUUCCAUAUUAAUUGAUGAGCAAAACAUCACUAUGAGUUGGCAACUUUUAAGUCUCCAUAUAAAUUACCUAAGCUAGUGUUUUGGAUGGUUGAAAAAGAAAUUGUUUUGAACAAAAUGAAUAGGAUUUAUUAGCUACUAACCAAAGCCAAUAAAAGUAAAUUUGGUUCUAGUUCUGCCUUAGAAUAUCUAAAAUUGUCUAGAAUUCUUUACAUUUCUCGACCUUUAAGCAAAUGGUGCAAAAUGAAAAGAAAAUCCAGCAAUGUUAUUAGUUAUAAUUUUCAUGGAAAGAUCCCAAAAGAGCCUAAACAGCAAAAUCUAAAUACCAAAAAGAAAAGAAACUCGAACUUAAAUAACUCAAAAAUCGGUAACAAUAAGAUUAACAUACCCCAUGGGAACUCCUUAUUGCGAAUGUGCAAAUAUGGGUAUGCCUGCAAACAUUCAAACAUCAUGACAGCACCCAAUGAUAAAAAUUAAUAACAAAAAUUUUUUUUCUUAAAAUAUAUAACUAAAAUUAAGCAUAAUAAAAGUAAGCUUACAGGAGGCUCUUCAUGGUGGGGAUGACCUUUUGAUAGAUUAUAAAUCGCUAAAACAGUGCAAGUAGCAACACCUAAAUAUGUUAUCUUUUCCCAUUUUGCCGUUUCAUCUGCAAAUAUAUAUAUAUAUAUAUAUAUAUAUAAUUCGUGUUAAAACAAUAUAUAUAUAUGAUUUUUCCAAGCCGUUUUAAGAUUUUCUUUUCCCUAAGAUCCAAAACUACGAUUCUUUUAAUAAUCUAAAUUUUAUUUUACUUACUCUAUUUCUAACAUAGACUCAAUUAAAAUCAAAAGGUUAAACUAGAUAAUAAAACCCUAAAGUAAAAAAAAUAGAACAACUCAAAAUAUAGGAAAUCAAUAUAUUAAUAAUAUAAAAUUGAUCCAAAUCAGAUAAAAUAUUAAAAAAAUAGAAGAAAGGUUGCAUACAAGCAUCAUCGUGAUGAGAAGAGGAAGCGAAGCCACGCUUGGGAGGAGCAGUAGGACGAGAGCCGCCGCGAAGGGCUGCUCGGAGGAGACCAGAUCGCACACUCGCCAUCGCCAUUUUUAUCGAUUUCUUUUUUCUCUACGACUUGAAACCCUUGUUUUCUUAUACGCGAUAUAUUUUAGUCAACAAUUAGAUUAGACCAAACGAGAAGGGUUUCGCACGUGCAAAGUGCGUGGCUUUUGCCCCUUUAUUUCUUGUUUUCUAAAAAAAAUUCUGAUAAUAUUGCAAAACAAAGGUGAUAUAUUUCAUAAAUAUAAAAAUAUAAUAUAAUGGUAAAAAUAUUGUGGAGACUUCUGUAUUAGGAGUCGGAUUUAAUUUUGUCUCUCUACUCAGCAAUUUGAUAAAUUAGUCUAUUUACGUUAGAUCAAAGAACAAAUCGGUCCUUUUGAUAAAAAAUUCAUUCAUUUCUAUAGUUAAAAAUUAGUCUCUGUACACUAGAGUUAUCCAUGGGCUGAAUCGGUCCACCCAAAAAAUCUAUUUCACUGUUUAAAAAUAAAUAAAAUAUUAAAAGCAUAUUUUUAUUUGAUAUUCUAUAUAUUUUAUAAUUAAAUUUAAAUUUAAAAAAAUUCAUUAUUUAAAUUGAAUUCGAGUCAGGUCGAAAAGCAAAAAUCCUUAUCCAAGCCUAGCCCAAGUUGGGUUGGGCCUAUAGGAGCGGGUAGCCUACCCGACCCUUGGACAGGACUACUAUACACUAGCAUAAGAUACACGUGACAAACCACAUGUAACUGUCUAAUUAUUCUAUCAGCUAUGCCAAUUUUUAACAGAAAAAAUGGAUGAAAAUUUUAAUAGAAAUGAUUAGUUUACUCUCUAAUCUAAUGCAUAUGGACUAGUUUACUAAUGUUUUAAGUAAAAAGAACAAAAUAUAAUCUGACUCCAAGUACAUAGGCUUCCAUAAUACUUUUACCAAAUAUAAUAUGCUUAAAUAUCUAUACUAUAUCUAAUUUGCCUAACUAAAUUGAUGUCAGGAAUCGAUUGACACCAUCUUAAUUAGAUAAAUUAUUUAAUUUAUUUUUAAUAAAAUAAUAAAUAUUAAUAUAAUGAUAUUUUUCUAAAUAUUGAACUUAGGUUAUGAUUUUUUUUUUCAUAAUUACCUUACCGCUUUGUUUACUAUUCAAUUAUUGAAGAAUCUUUUAUAAAUAUAUUUUUAAUAUUAACUUGUUAUAAAAUCAAGUGAUAAUAAUUAAAAUGUAUCAUAAUUUUAUUUCCAAUACACUUAAUAAUGAGAAACACAAAACACUAUAUGCAAAAAUGCAAAUAAAUAUCAUAAAAAAUAUAAUUAUUUAUCUUUUUUCUAAUUCUCAAUUGCGAUUUUUAAAAAAUAUAUAUGAUAGCAAGAUAAAUUUGUAUUUUAAUAUAUUUAUAUUUAGCUAAUUAUUAAAUAAAAUGCUAUUAAAUUUAGAUUUUUCUUAUCAAGAAUGAAGUUGAUAUGCUAAAUUUAAACUCUUAAAAAGGAAAGAGCUAAAUUGGAACAAAAAGCAAGGCUUGAUUGAAAGAUUGAAGAUUCAAAUAUAAUUGGAUAAGGGUUGAAGAUUUUUUUUAAGUGGCCGGAUGAAGAUUAAAAGAUUUUUUAUAUUGUUACAACUCUAUAAUUAGUUUAAAUUUGAUUUUUAAUUUUUGAAUUAUUUAGUGAUAAUUUUUAGAAUUAUUUAGUGAUAAUAUUUACAAAAAUUCUAGCUAAAUUUUAGCAUUAAAAGUGUGUAUAAAUACCUAGUGACUACAACCAAUUGACGUUUAAUAAAUUCUCUAUUUUUUUUUCCUCUCCUGCGUCUUUGCCAUUCAAUUUUGCAGUUUCAAUUGUUUUUUUUGUUUUGAUUUCAACCUUUUGGUUUAAUUUUCUUCUAAGGCCUUUCCCUUUUCUACUUUUCAAAAUUCCACUUAAACCAUUUAUUUUCAAGCAUGAUUUUUUCCAUGAUUAACUAAACCCUUUUUAGCUUUAGCCUGAAAAUUGCUCCAACAAAAUAAUCGUGAGAUACGAACCCACUCAAAAAAAUCUCUCAAUUCGGUAUUCGUUAUCUCUCCGGUAUAUGGGAUAGUAAAAAUUCAUCCCUCAAAAUUGAUUCAAUUUCAGCUCAAAAAACGUGCAUUAGGCUGCAAUCAUUUGACAUAGAAUUGGGAAGUUGAGUCGGCGGUGAUGUAUUCAAAAUCCCGCGAACAAAUUGGCGUGUUCAAUUGAAAAAAGCUAGUUGGAUUCUGUUAAGGGAGAUAGUGAUCGGAUUUAAACGACCCACAUGGUUGGGGCCGUUAAUUUGAGUUGGGCUUUUCAGAUCGUAAGGCUGUCGAAGUCUUAAAUUACGGGUACGUGCCACGUGGUUGGAAAUUCAACAAGGGUCGAUUUGCAGGUGAUACCGAGAUCGAAUACGAAAGAAAAAGUUGGCAGUUUGAGAGAUCCUUGAUUGUUAUAACAAGCUAAUCGCUUGGAAGGGAAAUUUUGUUUCAAGGAUCGAUUCAAGAUUGGAGUAUACUGAAGCUAAGACUAAGAUUAAAAAAUAUUUUAUUUAUCUAUUUAUUUUAUUUUCUUAAUUUUAUUUUUGCAUUUUCGAAUAUAUUUUAUUUUAUUUUUUGUAUUUCCUUAUUUUAUUAUCUUAAUUAAUAUAAAACCCCCAUUUUUAUUUUCUAGCGUUGCAACACACUAGUCGUGGACAUGACUAUUACUACAACAAUAAUUCUGGUUACAAAAAAGGCGAAAUUAGACAACCAGUCCCUAUAGAUUCGACCCUACUACUCUACAUUUCAAUUUAUUAUUAUUUUGUCGUAGAAAUUUAUAUUUGGUGAUUUUGACACCCAUCAAAUUUUGGCGCCAUUGCUAAAGAUUGGUGAAAAUUUCUAAUUUUUGUUUGUUUUAUUUAUAACCAGUUCAAAAUCGGGGACUCUAGCACUUGAGCUAGAGAUAGAAAAGUUGGCUCGAACACUUUGAAGAGAAGCUAUUCGGUGCGGUAAACAACCACAACCUGACUUUGAAGAAAGAUCUUACACCGGAGAUAUUUACUCAUCUGAAGAUUCAGACGAAAUAGCAAAUUAAACUAUACACCAACUUGUAGCUGUACCAGAUGAAUAACAACCGCUAUGCAUAACUUAUCCGGCAGGCGAAACAUUGUUCGAGUUAAAGUCGGGAUUAAUACAUUUAUUGCCUACUUUCUGCGGUUUGAAAAACGAGAACCUCCAUACUCAUUUGAAAGAGUUCCACAUGGUUAGUCUGAGCAUGAAACUAGAAAAGGUAACUAAAGAUCAAAUAAAACUACGAGCUUUUCCUUUUUCAUUAGCCCACUCCACUAGAGAGUGGCCUUUUUAUUUACCUUCAGGAUCUGUUAAUACUUGGACUGGUAUUUCUUGAUUAUUUCUUGACAGGUUUUUCCCAGUAGCUGGAGCAGCUGAAUUAAGGAGGAGUAUAGUCGGAAUACAACAAAAAGAAGCAAAGUCACUUAAUGAAUAUUGGGAGCAAUACAAUAAGUUGUGCGCAAGUUACCCACAACAUGGCUUGUCUAAACAGUCGCUCUUACAGUAUUUUUAUGAGGGGUUACUCUCAAUGAGAAUGAAGAUGAUUGAUGUCGCUAGUGGAGGGACUCUUGUGAACAUGACUCCCCAAAGAGUUAGGGAAUUAAUUUCGACCAUGGCUGCAAAUUCUCAAUAGUAUCGACCACUUAUGGAACCUACAAGAAGGGUUCAUGAGCUAAGUACUCCUUCAAUAGUAAAUAAGAUUGAUGAACUUACUAAUGUGAUUAGAAGUAUGCUUGUAGGAAAAUCGAACCCAACUCGGUUAUGCGGGAUUUGCGCUCAGCCUGAUCAUCUAACUAACUCGUGCCCAAUUUUACUUGAAGACACAACUACACAAGUAAAUGUCGUUGGGAACUUCCUAGGGCCACCUCAAAGGCGUUCUGAUCCAUAUUUAAGCAUGUACAAUGCAGGGUGGAGGAAUCAUCCAAACCUGAGCUAUAGGUCGAACCCUCAAUACAAUCAACAAUAUCAAUCAAGAAUACCCCCGUCUCAACAAUAUCAACCUCCAAAGUCAUCUCUUGAAGUUAUAGUAGAGAGGUGAGUCGUUGGCACUGAAAAGUUCCAACAAAAGGCUGAAGCACAUUUCUAAGAACUAGAUCAACAAAUAAGUAAGUUAGUACUUACGGUUAGUCAUUUGGAGAACCAAGGAAAAUUGCUAUCUCAAACCGAGCCAAACCCAUGUCAAAAUGCAAGUGUUGUGACCGUAAAAGAUGGGAAAGAGUCAAAACUAGUGCCUAGCACAAGUCGUGACCAUAAUGUUGAACAGGAAGUCAAACCAACAACUCUCACUGAGUCGGCACUUCUUAAACCAUUUGUUGUACCUCACCCAUACCCUGGAAAGCCGCCCAAGUUAAAAAGGAAUGAGAGAAAAAAGAAAUCCUUGAGACAUUCCGAAAGGUAGAAAUUAAUAUUCCUUUACUUGAUGCAAUUAAACAGAUUCCACGUUAUGCAAAAUUUUUGAAAGAACUGUGUACCGAAAAAAAGAAGUUGCAAGGAAAUGAAUGGAUGAAUAUGGGAGAAAAUGUUUCUGCGGUGUUACAAAGGAAAAUCCCACCUAAGUGUAAGGACCAAUGUAUGUUUUCUAUAUCCUGCAAAAUAGGUAAUAUUAGCAUAAUGAAAGCCAUGUGUGAUUUGGGAGCAUCUAUUAAUGUAAUGCAUUUAUCUAUUUUUAAAUUACUAAACACGGGUCAUUUGAAAGAAAUUGGGGUGAUUAUUCAAUUGGCAGAUAGGUCAUGCAUAUAUCUAGAAGGGGUGCUAAAAGAUGUCCUCGUAAAGGUAAAUGAACUAAUUUUUUCCUGCAAACUUUUAUAUCAUCGAUAUGGAGGACGACCACUCAAAAAAUGCUUCUGAUAUUUUACUUGGGAGACCAUUCCUAAGUACCGUGUGUACAAAUAUUGAUUUCGAAGUGGAACCCUCACUAUGGAAUUCGAUGGUGAGGUGGUAAAAUUUAAUGUUUAUGAGGCGAUGGCCAACCCAAUACAAUGUCGAACAUUUCUAGUGUUGAUAUUAUUGAACCACUAACGAAAUUUUAUUUUGAGUAUCAUGAAGGGGAUGGGUUGCAAAUUGUACUUUGCAAGAGUUUAGACCUUGAUACGAUGGAUAAAUUAGAGGAGUUAAUGACGUUCAAAGAACUGAUUCGUGAAACCGUUAUUCUAUUGGAGACUCCACAAUUUCCUAGAAGUCAAGGUAAAUAUUUUAAACUUUCUCCUUCUAAAACUAAAUUCUUGCAUUCUGUUUUGCAGGCUUUGGAAUUGGAACUCAAACCGUUACUUGAACAUUUAAAGAUUCUGAUAAAGGAAAAGGCAAACCCAAACAGAGAAGCUCAAAUACGCCUUAAUCCACCAAUAAUGGAGGAAUUCCAAGUGCACAUAAUGAAAUAAUUAAUUCUUAAGAAACCAAACGAAUAACUCUCAGGUCGUCGAGCUAACGCCGUUAAACAAAAGGGCAUUAUGGGAGGCAACCCACAUUUAUUUUUAUUUAAUUUAAUUUAAUUUAAUUUUGAAUUUUAGUUUAGUUUGAGAAUUAAAUAAAAUAUUAUUUUAAUCUGUUUGAUCGUGUUGUUUUCCAGGAGCAACCACCUUCAGCUGUAGACGAACGACUUCAUCGCAUUGAAGCUUGCUUCAAAAUAAUAAAAGCCAACAUCUCAAGCAUCCUCACCGUUCUACAAAGUGAUCACUUCCAUCGCUCUCCGGCCCAUUAAAUAUAAACGGGGAGUACACUUUCUCCAUUCAUAUUAUUCUUUUUACACAUUGGGGGCAAUAUGGGCUAAGUAGGGGGAAUUUUGAAUCAUGAUAAACUUUUUUUUUUGCAUGUGUUUUGUUAAGAAUAAAUUUUUUUAAUUCAUUUCAAAAAUAAAUAUCUAAUUCUUAUGUUCAGUUUACUUAAAUAAGUGGGUGAACCAUGAAUACUAUUGCUUGCUUGAUCAAUGAAUAUUUUGUAGAAUUGAAAAUGUUAUGCCUUAGUCGAUAUUUCAUGAAAAAUUAUUAGUUUUGUUGAACUUGCGUAAUGAAAGCACUAGAUUAAAUAAAUAAAUAAAUAAAUAGCUUGGUUAAGAGUGAAGAUUCA